GUUCGCCGAGGCCAGCACCAUCUCCGGGUGCAGCGCCGGGGUCGCGUUCUUGAGCGUCCCGUCGAUGCCGUUCGGCCGGCCGAGCGCCUUCAGAGCCAGGUGCGCCGCCUUCUGGCCGGAGAUCAUCAUCGCGCCGAACGUCGGGCCCUGCAACCAAAACAAAUCCUCAGUCCAAGAACUGAACCGGAUUCCAUUGAUCUGUACUCCGUAUUUUUUAUUUCUAUUUUUGCGAAAACUUUAGUAAUCAUUUCUCACCAUUCUCGGGGCGCCGUCGAUCUCGGCGACCUCCAUGCCGGUGACGAUCAUGCCGGGGACGACCUCGCGGGUGAGGCGCACGAUGGCGUCCUCGGCCAUGUUCAUGUCAAGCGCCUUCAUCCCGGGCACCGUGUCGAUCAUCCCGAUGUCCUGGAGCCUCUUGACUCCCGUGGCGCCGAAGGGCCCGUCGUGGCCGCAGGAGCUCACCACCACCUUGGCCUCCAUGACGUUGGGGUCCAUGCAGGACUGUGUGUCGUGGUUCAUCGACACGAGCGCCCAGUUGGUGACGACGCCGGCGACGCGGUCCUCCUUCACGAUCAGGUCCUCCACGGCCACGGCGUUGAAGAGCUUCACGUUGGGGCGGGCCAGGAGGCGGCUCAUCACCGUGGAGGUGAAGAGCGCGGCGUGCUUGAUGACGACGUAGUCCUCCUGCUCGUCGUACUCGAUGUUGAGCUCGUCGAGGAACAGGUGCGCCGGCUUGCGCACGACCAUGGCGGAGAAGAGCUGGCCCCCGAGCCAGGCGCCGCCCCCCGGGGACACGGACUGCUCGAUGAUGGCGAUGCUGAUGGACGGGUCUUUGGAGAGCUCGUAGGCGCAGGACAGCCCCGCGGAGCCGGCCCCCACGAUGACGACGUCCGUGUCGGCGUAGGUGAUCAUGUCGGUCAUGUACCGGCGGGUCAUCUCGCGGGAGACGAUGGAUUCCUUGAUGGGGCUGAACUUGAAGGCGUUGAGGUCGUAGGGAGGGGUGGAGGCGGAGAUGGAGUUGCAGAUGGCGCCGGCGCGCGGGGUGGCGACGCUGGACGGGGUGCGCGCGGCGGCCGCCGGGAGGCGAGCGCCGGCGAAGGAGGUCUUGAGGAGGCUGGAGGCGGAGGUGGCCAUGGCUGCCAUGGUGAGGUGGAUCUGGUUCCGUGCGAAGUUUCUUGGGUUUCUGGAGAUGGGUGGAUGGGGAUAAGGGGCGGUGGCAGGGUAUAAGAAGAGGAGAGGAGCAGGCAAAUAUCCGGUGGUUGUGUGUACGUGCGAUCAGAUCCGAAGGUGUCGGCCUUUGGACUCAUCGGGGAUAUUUUGUGUGGUCUCUUGGCAUGAGUUACUGUGCUUAUUAAUGACCAUCAGCUCAUACAGUAGUGUUAUGUUAUGAAACACCAGAUCAUUUUUUCAUGACUAAGUUAACUUUUGAAAUCAAGCCCAACUUCACCGAGGAUCUGCGAACACAACUUCGUGUUUGGUUGUCUUACUUGGACUGAAUGGCUCGGCCCAGUUCCGUGUUUAAUUGUCUAAUUGUUUGCACGUGGUUUUUCUUCCUCCUCUGUCAAUAAACUCUGUUAGCCAACCUCCAGCCCCGCUGCUUGAUCUCCCCUUCGAUUCUCUCAUUUCGGGUGGUCUUUCCUCAAAUUGAAGCACUUGAAUUAUUCUCUGUCACUCUACGAAUCGAUUUUGCCAUGCUCUUUCUAGAGCAAGGAGGAGGGAUCUAGAUGUGCGAGUUAAUUACCGAAAAUGCCCUUCUAAAGUGGGCUAUAAAUAGAAGUCACGAACACAAGACACAACUUUUCCGAUAUUACAGUACUAUCCAACAAACAUAAAAAGAGCUCACGAUCUCCCCUCAUAUCCAUUGUGCCUCUUGUCACUCCUACGAAUGUGGUGAUUAACAAGCAAACAUUGAACGACUAAAGUUCUCAACACAUAGCACUUUGUUGUCCAGAAUUUCAGUUAUUUUCCCAUAGUUUGCCUACUUUGAUUCAUGCUAGUGAUUUGAGUAGUGAGGGAUGACAUAACGGUCCUCUGGGAUUAUUAUUUUCAAAAAAGAGGAUGUUCCCCCCGGCCUCUGCAUCAAUCGAUGCACACAACCAUAAUACUAUUGAAGUCGCAAAUAGUGAACAAAUAUCAAUUAUUACAACACAAAAUGACAACGGUAUAGGAAUAAACAACAUCCUAGCUUAUCACCUCAGAUUUGGCAGUAGCAACAUCACCACACCGGAUGCCGCCACAUUGUCAGAAGCAUCGUCGACUAUGGCUCUGCCUCCAAGAUUGAGGACCUAUGUAUGGUCUUCAACUUGCUGCUAAACAACGGCCUGGGUGGCACCACCGGCUUCUCCAACGAAGUUGGUACCGCCAUAGCCUCUUUCUCAUCUGCUUCAUUUGGCGAAGCCGUUGAUCCGGUCUCAACUAUGACCUCCACCACGGCCAUGCAAGAACUGACCACAACCACUAUCAGGACUCCUUGGCCGCCAGCACCAUAUUCUCUUAUUACAGCGCCAUGACCUUCAUGCCUGGCAACUGCAUCUACAACACCACCCUAAUGGACAUCCGGGCACCAAAGAUGGUCCGAAGGGUGAGGUCAGAAAUAAAUAUUACAAUGUAUGGUAAGUAUCUUUGCAUUUCGAGCAUCCCAAAUCUUCUAAAGGAUGACUAGGAGUAUAAAGUAGUUAGUUCGAUGCUGAGGUGCUUCCAGAGAGCUACCGAGGAAGGGCAAAUGAAGAACAUAUGUUCUCUUUUGGAGGAGCACCUCGAGCAUGUAAUGUCACGUGGGGAUAUUUCUACGAAAGAGUUUCGCAUUUGUGUUCAACCAGUUGAGUGAUAGAAGUCAAACCCGAAUCUGUAUGUCUUGGGCACACAUGUUUCCCAUAUAGCUUGAAGGGUAGGUCAGUGUUGAGCCGGCAACACAACAUUUUAGGCUCUCAUGGAAGAGAUUGGCCGCUCGUCAAGAAAAUGUCGACGCUGCUUCGUCUGAGAGAGUUGAGUCCUGCAGGAGAGCUUUGAGACACAACAACUCAACAUGUGAUGCGUUAAUAGUUAGCCUGCUACAAAGGCGCAUUUCGAGUCCUUCAUCAAGUACCUCUCGGGGCUAACACCCAUUCGGCCAUAUAGUGGGAGUGUAGAGCAGAGAAGAUAUUUGCCAUGCUCGUUUUGAAGCCAUCAUUUCGCCAAAAGUAUGCACAUCUUUGAUGCUAUGGAUGGAGAAAGAGGUUAGGUGACAUGUAGCCUUGCUGCUAUGAAUGGAGCAAAAUAGGUUAGGCAACAAAGAAGAUUUAUGCUCAUGAGGAUGAUUUUGGCACGCACGAAUUUGUGGAGGCACUUGUCAUGUUUAUUGGUGAAUGGCUAGAAAUCCAUUGAAUCCAUGGACGCCUGCCAGAAUGAAGAUAGUUAUAGGCAAACUUUAGAAGUAGGCAAAUAUUAUGUUCUUUGAAGGUUUUUAUCCUAGGCCAUUGUGAAUAUUCCAAUCCAUGCAACUAGACAUUUUCACCUAGUACAUGUGUUUUUUGCGCUCCAAAGAAAGCUUGACGGAUGUUUUUUUUUCGAGGGAUCAUUGGGAGGGACCCACCUGAAUAUAUCCACAAAAGGAACCCCGAGGGCAAUACUCCUUUCCGGAGCAAGAAACAUAGGAAAAAAACAGUACAUGAUUACAACACAACGCCAGUGUACCCACUAAACAUGAGCUGGGUUAUGCAGCAUUACAACAUAGGUUAUGUUAUAAUCAACGAACUGGGUACCACGAGCAAUAGGAGGAGGACUAUCGCAAACAUCACCAGAGAGUGGGGGAGUGAUAACCAGAUAGAUCAAAACAAAGCAUGAAAACUAAGGUGGGAAACCCGAAGCAUCAUCAUUAGGAAGCCGCACUGAUGUCAUCAUUGGGGGAAACAAUAGACGACGGAGGCUCGUCGAGCAUGCAGAAAGGUCGCGCAAAUCCUCCAUCGGAGGGUGGCUUUUCCGAGAGAAAGAGAAGAGCGACUAAUGAAAGAUAUCUCCCCAAAAGGGGGUGGUUUAUCGAGUGGAGGAGUGUAGAAGAAGGGCACAUACGACGACAUUAGGAUGACAACGGUGGCAACCAAGCAGAAGUUUGUUGGAGAUUUUGAAGGAGCUAACUAGAGGUGGAUGGAUCUCAGAUCGACCAUUUGCAGCACACACGUACUCUAUCGCGGCCAUCUCUGGCAGGAGGAUGCCGCCUCCAUGGCAGCCAUUUGCACAAUCAUGGAUCUUGGAGGCUGGAGCACAACAACCAAGUUGUAUACAGUCCUCCAAGUCCAAGCAACAGCAACAGCCGUUAGACUAACGAUGCCGCCGCCACAGCUGCCAUAUGCAAACUAUGGUUACCGUUAGCAUGAAUGGUGAAGGGGCGCGUAGAGAUAAACAAAAACUUUUCCUACGCAAACUCCCAAGAUCUAGCCGAGGUAGAAGGCCACGAGGAUUACCACUAGACGCGCAGUUGCGGAUUAUCGAUGCGGCGUCUUGAUGCAGUGCGGUCCCUCGAUCCGAUCCAGCCGAUCCAAUCCCGCGAUCGUCGAAGUGCUGAACGUACAGCACCUCUGCCGGUAUCCACACGUGCAAGGAGGAGCUCCGGUGGCGGACUGCUAGGUCCGGUGCGACGGUUGGACUGAAUGGGGCUAGGGUUCUCAACGCAUGAGAGUGAAAAAACCGUGCCCCUUAGGCAUCCCACGCCCCUGCUUAUAUACCGAGUGGAAGUGGGCUCCAAGCCUUGUGGCCCAUCCACCCUGCGAGUCCAACUCGCAUUGUCAGCCCAAUUUCAGUUCGGGUCCAACCCGACCAAAUAUUUGCUCCCGCUCUUAAGUGUGUGACCCCGCAGGCUCAUGGCGACUUGGACACGAUUGGAGUCCGACUCUCAAUCGAUCAAUCGGUAGCGGCUCCUAGCAGAACGUGCCGACUCCUAAGUACCAUCGAGUCAUGACGACGUACCUUCCAAUGUGACAUACGUCUUAGUCCCUUUUGCCUCACGAUAUACCUUGUCGAACUAUAGGCGAUUAAUCGUCAUCCCUUUAAUAGUUCAACUCUCUUCUCGAUCUGUGAUAUACGAUUCAUCCGACUAACUCUUAGUCGAUCGACCCGGUUAACAGUUAACCAAGUCGCGCAUGGCCAUGCUUCCCGAAUCAUAUCACUCGAGAGGGCCCAGAGAAUAUCUCUCCAGUCGGAGGGGCAAAAUCCCAUCUUGGUUAUCCACAUCACACAGCUUGAUUCUCAGUCAACCCGAACUCUGUCUUUAUAACUGCCCUGUUACGGAACAACGUUUGACAGAACCUAAGUUGGUGAUCCACAACUCGGAUUGUGCGAUAACCUCAGGUCUAAGGAUUACAUUGAUUGAGACAUGCAAAUGACGACCUACUCGUUGCAUCUCAAUAUGGGUCAGUCCGACUCGCUAAACUCUUUAGCCGAGUCCGUGUAAGCUGGAAUGACAUCACCAUGCCCAUGACAAGUGGAACCGAGUCAUCAGCCAACUUUCACAUUAGUCUAGGUUAUGUGUCCAGCACAACCUCAAUGACUAAGGACAAUUUAGUAUGAACAACAUGAAUACAUAGUUCCACAAUCAAAUCACAUAUUCAAUGAUACAUAUCAGAUGUUCAAACAAGGACAACUUAAUAAUAUUUAUGAAUACAUUGGGAAUUACAUCAUACAUGAUUGCCUCUGGGGCAUAUUCCCAACAAAUGGAAGUGCCACAACCGUCUGAGGGAGGGACGGGGAGAGAAAAGAGGAGCAUGCAACAUCACUCUAAUCACCGUGAAUCAUCAUGUAAAAUUGCAACCUGAGUAGGGAGGGGUGCAGGGCUUGAGCGACAACGGCGAUGGAAGGAAGGGGUGGAGGGUGAUACCAACAUGGACAUGAUGUCGAGCAGAGGCGGCGGAGCUACCGCCAGAUUUUGCCCGUUAGACUCUAGAUCCGGGUAGGAGAACGUGGGGUCUUUCCGUGGGCAGGGACAAUGACCACGAACUUCAGCAUGCGGCGGGUGGGGCGAUGUUGACGGCUUUGGCGGGGACUACGAGCGCAACCCGUUGCGUUGCGAAAUCCGGGUCCACAGAUCCGUACCGGCAGACACCGGAUCCGGGAAGAAGCCUGCAGAUCUAGCCGGGACCGCGUGUGCGACAACGAGCUCGAAGAGGGUUGCUGACGGGUUGGUGGAGGUGGACGCUAGCUGGUAGGUUCACCAGGUGAUCUUGGAUUCCAGCUGGUGGCGGGUGGAAAGACAACGGUCGCUCGUGGAGGGCCCCGUCACCGACGACGGGCGUAUGGGCAAGCGCUCGGUGACCACCAGCGACGAGGAUGAGGGGACGAGCCAUUGGUGGUUGGCGACACGGCUGGGGGUGGCGCUGUGACUGAUCUUGCCCGACAGUCGCCUGAUCCGGUGAAGAGGACUGUGGAUCUUGGUGGGGAUCGCGACUGCGGCAACGAGCACGAUGCGCGCACGGGAGGCGGUUGACCUGGUCAUGAAAAAGGGCUCACGGCAGCCUCCAUUGGCAGCGCCCCGGGCAUGCCGGCGACUGCCUCCGGCAGCGGCGAGGGAGGAGUUGGGUGUGAGGACAGGUGAGGCUUGGGCGAUAGGGUUCGCCCCCGAGUCACCCUGGAGGAGACGACGCGAUGACAAGCCAAUUUUUUUUUCGCUUGCCAGAGGGAACGAAUUGGAUGGCAGCGGACUGGGCGCUUGACGGAUGUUGUCAACCUUAGCAAGUAAAUAGUCUGGGAGGGAUAAAAUAGCACAAUGACCUACACAAUACGAACAAACUAGCGCACUGAUUAGAUAGUGCAUCUUCACCGGAUGUGGCAUGCAGUGCCUAAUGUUAGGUACCGUAUGGCUGGGAAUACAAUAUGGUCCGCUAUACGUACGACUUCUUUCCUACGAUGUUUGUAUAGACACAUCAAUUCAUCUAGUUUCAUGCGCAUCCCUGCCCUUCAUCGGCUCAGAAGAAAAAUCAUCAAAGUCACUAACUAACCUUUGGCCACGUCAAGUCGUACUUCCGUCGGACCGCAGAACGUCGCACGUGAGUAAAUUCCGUAUUCGGUUUGGAAAAAUCUACUUAGCAGUUACUCCUCUCAUUUCAUAAUUUUUGUCUCAAAUUUGUUCAAAAUAAUUGUAUUUAUUUCUAAAAAACGACUAGAUACAUAUAAUAUUUCAACAAGAAUUAUGAAACGGAAGGAGUAUACAAUACACCAUAUUCGUCGUGAUGAGCCUGAAACACUGUUCUCUUUUAUUGAACCAAGAAGGCUCUGCCAGUAGCACCGUCUUUUUUGUGCGGGGAGGGAAAACGUCCAACGCAUCCACGUUCUCCUACAUCCCCUCAAGGCCGAGUAUGCCAACUUACGGGAUCUUAAUUUGAUAUCCAUUCUUGCAAUGUUAUUUGUUACACUAACAUUUCAAAUAUACAAUGACCAUGAAUUAUUUAUUUUCUUAUUCGAAAUUUGAUAGUACUUUUAUUGUGUGUGCGACGACCAGUGUUGUCUGAUUCUGAAUCAAAAGAUAAGAGUAUAUACCUGCUCCAGCAUUCUUGCAUCCACAACAGACAAAGUCCAUCUCACCUUUUUGAGUGGCAUUACUGCACCUAGAGUAUUUCAGGAGAGAUAUUUGCGUGCUGUCAAAAUCUAAAAUUAUGUAUCAUGAAUUGUGGUCCGUUGAAGUUGCUAUCAUCCUGAGCAGACCGCACCACUUGCGAAAAUGUACAAUAUAGUGAGUUAACCUUUCUUAAUUAUCUUAUUACAGGAAAUCAUUCUUAAUUCUCUGGGUAGCAAAUAAUGGAGAUGUUUCACUGCUCAAGACUUUACAAAAACGCAGCGUCACUUUCAGUUAAAUUUGUGCCACAGCUUUUGGCCCAUAUCUGAUUGUUGAGAGUGACCCCGGAUUUCAGAAAGCUUUCUACAGAAAAAAGAUUGCGCGACCCUUGAAAUGCUGGCAGGACGCACCAACAUGGAUUUUUUUUUUUACCAUUGAAGUUACAGCUACGGUUUCUACUUGUUUUUUUUUAAACCCUCGCCAAAAUGGCCAUACUCCACAAUUAGACAUAACGGAGCACAACGUUCAGGUUUUGAAAUACGAUAUUCUACUUACCAUGAAUAUGCUUAAAAUCAUUCGAAUGAAGCAGAAACUGGCUCAGCGCUUAUAUAUAGUUCUAUAUCCAGGAGCCAAGGUAUUUUCAUGGCCACCAUGUAUUGUCUGCAUCCGAAAUAUUAUUCCGAUAUCAUAUUAAAAAACCACUGUCAGGUGUCAGCUACCUUCGGAACAUGCCACCGCACAGAUUUUCUCUGAUAGAGAAGUCCCUUCCAAUAGGGCUUUUUCAGAUAACAGAAGAGAUAAAAUCUCUUGGCCUAUGUUUCUUACUCCGUACAAGUUUUUUGCGUUAGAAAUUUUUGAUUAAUCGAAGAUGUCAGAAAGUGGCUCUGCCGCUCUGUCAUAUCUUCCUUUGGGAACUUGUAAGUUUGAUUCGCAUUACAACUUGCAGCAAUUCGCAUUUUCCCUUGAUAGGCAGCCAUAUAUCUUGCUUUCACCGGGGAUUGAAGAUGAGCCGAGGAGUAAAAUGUGGCACGGUGGGUUGUACCAUCCGUUCAUAAAUAUUGUUUGCAUUGUGAUCACUAAUCUGGUUGCGCACGGUGGGUUGCACCAUCCGCCAAUUUGUGGCCACCCGAAGGCACAAGAUAUUUUCUGCCAAUUUUGUGGUGACAAAACAAGAUGCUGGCCGAGGCUGGUAGCAGACAUGUCUUCCCACAAUUCCGUUUCUAGCAUGUAGAAGCUAGCUAGAUCAUGUCGCGCCAAUAGUUAUCGUGCUAUUUUUACGUGGUGUUGAUGAUACGACUGCCCCAUUUGGAGAUUUGUGGUCACGUCACGCCACGCCAGUGUCCUGAUAUUUUCGUGACCAAACCAAUAAUGCUUUCACGUCGCAUGAUUGUUGUACGACGUAUCACCUAUGUCACGUGCACAGUACAUACAAGCCAUAUUGUUUUUUUGAAAGUGUCUAUUUCUCAGUAACAAUGUCUAAUCUUAUAUGAAUCUCUAGAUUGAAUUAAAAAGUUAUUGUCAUCGAUUAAAAAUAGUUAUUUUUCAGUCACCUAAUAAAUAGUAAAACCCUUUUUUUUACAUCAGGACACCAUAUUGUUUUUCCGUCACCUCCUUCCUGCUACAAAAGCCAAAUAUGUCAAAAUAUGUGUGGACAAUCAUUAUUAUCAAUUGCAGGUCCUCUGGGAGCCUCACGUCUGCACCUGCUCCACGUAGGCCAGCGACAAAGUACGUGCUGCCGCUGAAUUUGUUUUUGUUUUUUGUGAGGUCUUGUGCUGCCACUCAAUUUGGCCCAAGUACGUGCCUUGCCCAGAUCCAACCUUAUAGGUAGCCCGCACAUGGCACAUCCAGGGCCGCUUCUUCACUUGCAGGUAGCCCACUGGUCCGUGGUCCGUAUGGAAGCCACAGGCCACAGAAAGGCCUUCUCUUGAAUGCGUUGGCUCUGAUAUGAUAGUAUGGCCCACGGCUAGCCAAAUCUGGCGUGCAAAAGUGGUCCUCGGGCCUGGGCAUGCGGCUAGAAACAGUCGAACCACAUGUCAGGGGCUUAGGGCCGAGUCUUACCUGACUUUCAGAAGUCUAUAUCUCGUCCUCACCCCAUUAGGCGGUUUUCAUGCUGAUGUGGUCAAUUUAGAACGGUUUUGCCGCUGACUAGGAUUGUGACCUCAGACGCGGCAGUUAUUGGUUUCAUUUCUCCUUUUUUUGACCAAAAAUCCUCUUUUAGCGCAUCGAGAGAUGCCGGCCAUGGCAACCAAGCGCGAGAGCCAUAGAGGCGGCGAGGAAGCUAGUGGCGGCGGGGAUGAAACUUGUUUAGGGCAUCGUCGUGGACCUCUCUGACUCUGAGCACAGCCUGGACAAGGGGGAGGAACGGAUCAACAGUUCAACGAUGUCCUCAUGUGCAGCUUCUGGGGAACGAUGUCAGCCACCGACAAGUGGCGAUGGCGCUCGACACGAGAUCGCCGGAGGGCUCCAAAUCUGAAAUCAACGGAGGGGAAAUAGCCAUGAGGUAUCAGUGGUGCUGUGGCUUGAAGGAAUUGAAGAAAGGAGAUCUCUCGCGGUCGCAAUGGACGGUCGCCGUCGACGAGCAGAGGUGGCACUUGGCUUCACUAGCAGUUGUAGGCCUUACCUCGCCGCCUUGUACAUCGCUUCUGUGCGCAGGUCACACACCAAGAUGCGCGGCCGCAUGCCGCCCUGCGUUGCGCAUUCCGCGGGUGACUGGCGUGCCGACCUGCGUUGCGUGGUGCUGGCGUUGGCGAAGACAGGGAGAGUUGGGCAGGCGCGGGCUCGGGUGAGGGCGAAGGGAGGCACGUGGGGUCCGAGCGUGCCUUCUGGAGGCAGGGGCGGCGCGGGAAGACUCGAAGGCGGCGUGGGCGGAGGCCAUGGAUUUCGGCUCGAACUCCAGCUCGGCCAGGGGUGAGGGCGAUGCCAACAGGGCAGGCGGCGGCGCGGCCUGGGGACGGGGCCAGGCGACAAGGCACGGGAGGUAGCUCGGACAGAGAGAGGAACGUGCAGAGGGGAAGAACAGGAGCCACAUCAGCACGUCAAAAAUUAUAAUAACAACAAAACCGUCCAAAAUUGGCCACAUAAUCAUGAAAACCGUCUAAUGGGGUGAUUUGUCCGGGUUUUUUUUUUAAUUUCAGGGUUAAAAAUAAACGGUUUUUGAUUCCGGGGGUUAUGCGUCCCUUGAGAUAUAUUUGAGGGUGAAAUACGAACUUUUUUCUACGUGAAACCUGUUAGCAGUGGAGCAUUUCUCUGGUACAAUAACGAAUUCGUCCCUUUUCUCCGCUAAAGAUGUCGUAUGGCCAAAAUGUGUAUAGAGAUUGGAGCAAGUGAAAUAAUCCUUUUCAAUCAGAAAUCAACCAUGUCCACGUGAUCCCUCAAAAAAAAAAAACCAUGUCCACGUGAAUGAAGUAAAGGCCCAAUUUGGGAACUCGAAAAUGUAAAGGCCCAUUUGUGGCCUGGUCACAUUUCAUUUAACAAGAUAUCCGAGGAGCAGGUCUGCUUAGAUCAAAGCAGAUACAACGCAAGGUGCUUAGACAAGUGAUUACGAAAAUAAAUCAAGCACUUUCUUAAGCAACUGUGUUUAUUUGUAUAAAGGAGGUGCCAAGUUAGGCAUCUACUUGGUCUAAAUAAGCACCAGUGCUUAACGAAAACCAGUUAAUUUUUCUAAACACCCACCUAGACAUCUUACAUUGUACAUGCUCUCAGGAGGAGGAGAAGACUAAACCCUAUCUGUCUUUGAAGAAAGUUUUGAUCUCCAUCGGUUCCCUUCGUCUCUAACAACCAAUAUGGCAUUGAGAAAUGGGAACCAUGGAUUACUGGCUGUCAUCUAGUUUUUUUUAUUAGGUUUAUGUGUUUUUCACGGUGGCAUCUUGACGUGGAGAUGACGUCGUCUAGAAGAUUGAUGUACUGACUCUGUCCUUGUUCUGAUGUAGGCGAUGCGGUCUACUCCAUGGAGUCAGUGAUUAUCAUGCCUCAUCUUUUGGUGUUUUUGGUCUUUUUCCUUGUCGAUUCAUAGCAGCAGUUUCACAGCUUGCCUUGCAACGGGUGUGUCUUCAGUCAUGGUGCAUUCAACGAUCUUAAGUUUUCACUGUUUGAGGUGGGCGACUCAUGCAGCUUCGCAAAACCUAUAAGGCCUCCUUCUUUUGGUCUUCUAGACCAGAUUAUAGGUUCCAGGCAGCUGAAACCCAAAAGAAGGAAAAAUUUCCCAACAGCUGCUACAAGAAGCCCAUCCCAACUCACGUGUAAAAUGAGCUUCUCGGAGUAACUGGUCUGGACCAGUUUCUUGGGCUUCACCACACUGCAGUUUUGGACUUGCCCUCACGGCGAACCGUAUUUACAUCCAAAUGCCACCGCCAAGUUCCCCGUUGCGAACCGUUACUCCCAGACCCGAGCGACCCCCUCGCCAAGUUCCCCAUCGUCUUCUCUCCCGCCGCCCUCCCAUCUCUCCCGCAGCCCCCCCCCCCCCCCCCUCCUCCUCUCAGGUGGCCUCCUCUAGAUCGUGAGACUCCAAUCCUUCUGUAGCCAUCCAUUUGCUGAUGUUGUAGCAAAAAUUGCGAUGAAUUUCAAUAAAAUGGAUGGGUCUAGAUCAUGAGACUCCAAUCCUCUCUUUGCGUAUUUUCUGUAGCCAACCAUUUGCUGCCUGGAGUAUAUGAUUCAAAAGGAUGCAAAAUACAUGUGUAUAAAAACAGCAGUGCAUGUGCAUAACGAGAUUGUGUGUGUAUAGUGAGAAUUUUCAGAUUUGUUGUGAGGUACGGUGCAUGUGCUAUGUGCGUAAACAGAAAGAAUGCAAUGAACUUCUUUGCACUUUAUGUUUUUAAUUAUAAUUUACCACUUUAUUUUGCUCAGAAUUCAUCUUAUUGGUCAAUUAUUUGGUUAAACAGUGAAUAACAAUGAUAUUAUGAAUUAAACAUGGAACAAUCAAAAUUCAGGGGUGUUAUGGACAAUUCCAACUCAAACCAGACAAUAAAUUGCAGUUUUAGAAGCCGAAAAAAAGAGAUCAGGAUAGCUUUUCAGAACUUCUUGUGGCAGCAGCUUCCCUCAGAAAUUCAUCUGAAACUGGUUUUUGGAGAAGCUGCAGCCGAAAAGAAGGGAGCCUAAGGUUAGUCUAGCCUAUGCAAAGAUGGAGUCAUGCAAUUUCGUGAUUGAAUACAUGGAGGAAUAUCAAGAUGCGAAUGCGGCGUUUAUUUCGAAUAACGGUGACGAAGCUUUUAGUUUUAUGAAGCAUCUUUGUUACUUUUUUCAUAUCAAUUGUAUCGAUACUGUACUUUCUUUUAUGAAAUAAAACAGUUAUUCCAGAAGAAAAAAAGCUAUCCGAGGAGAACGCACGCAACCGAUCUCAGCUUAUGUGCAGGCAGUUCUAACCGCCGCAACUGUCCAAAAAUGUGCGUGGAUCCGAUCAAAAAAAGAAAAGAAGCGCGUGGAUCGAAUUUUGUCUGCGCGCGAAACUGCUCCUAUUCCUGGACGCCACCAUCGACGUGGCAUCCGUUUUGCAACUUCCCACCCGAUAAGCAUCAAACGACCGAAGCGAUCAAGUGAGACGCUACCAAGUUUAAUUCCAUGCUCCCGGCCCGUUCCUAUAAAUACCGCAGGACACCGAAGGGAAACAGACAGGCCAGUGCAUGCACGCAGCUGAGCUUCUUUUCUUUGCUCUCUAUAAGUGUUAGCCAUGGCGUCGCCAUUCUCCGUGCCUUCGUUGGUGAGUGCGCUGUGUUCACAACGACGUCAUGUCCUAUAAUGCUAUGCAUUUCGAUUUAAGCUGACGCAGAGCGUGUGAUGAUGUUUGUUUUCUUAUCUCUGGGUACGUAUCUAGAUUAUGGAGGAGGAAGGUCGGUUCGAGGCGGAGGUGGCCGAGGUCGGGGCGUGGUGGAACACGGAGAGGUUCCGGCUGACCAAGCGCCCCUACACCGCCCGCGACGUCGUGCUCCUCCGCGGCACGCUCCGGCAGAGCUACGCCUCGGGCGAAAUGGCCAAGAAGCUCUGGCGCACGCUCAAGUCCCACCAGGCCAACGGCACGGCCUCUCGCACCUUCGGCGCCCUCGACCCCGUCCAGGUGACGAUGAUGGCCAAGCACCUGGACACCAUCUACGUGUCCGGGUGGCAGUGCUCGUCGACGCACACCUCGACGAACGAGCCGGGCCCGGACCUGGCCGACUACCCCUACGACACGGUGCCCAACAAGGUCGAACACCUCUUCUUCGCCCAGCAGUACCACGACCGGAAGCAGCAGGAGGCGCGCAUGUCGCUGCCCCGCGCCGAGCGCGCCCACGCGCCGUUCGUGGACUUCCUCAAGCCCAUCAUCGCCGACGGCGACACGGGCUUCGGCGGCGCCACGGCAACGGUCAAGCUGUGCAAGCUCUUCGUGGAGCGCGGCGCGGCCGGGGUGCACCUGGAGGACCAGUCGUCCGUGACCAAGAAGUGCGGCCACAUGGCCGGGAAGGUGCUCGUGGCCGUGUCGGAGCACGUGAACCGCCUCGUCGCCGCCCGGCUCCAGUUCGACGUCAUGGGCGUCGAGACCGUCCUCGUGGCGCGCACCGACGCCGUGGCCGCCACGCUGAUCCAGACCAACGUGGACGCGCGCGACCACGGCUUCAUCCUCGGGGCUACCAACCCGCGGCUCAAGAACCGGAGCCUCAACACCGUGCUCUCGGACGCCAUGGCGGCCGGCAAGAACGGCAUGGAGCUCCAGGCCAUCGAGGACGAGUGGAUCGCCACGGCGCAGCUCAAGACCUUCUCCGAUGCCGUCAAGGACGCCAUCGCCGCAAUCCCCAACACCACCGACCACGACAAGAACCGCAAGCUCCAGGAAUGGAGCAACGCCACGGGCGGCUACGAGAAAUGCAUUUCCCACGAGCAAGCGCGGGAGCUCGCCGCGAGCCUGGGAGUGCCUUCGUUGUUCUGGGACUGGGACCUGCCGCGGACCAGGGAAGGGUUCUACCGCUUCCGGGGGUCCGUGGCGGCGGCCGUGGUCCGCGGGCGCGCAUUCGCGCCGCACGCGGACGUGCUCUGGAUGGAGACGUCGAGCCCGGACAUCGCCGAGUGCACGGCCUUCUCGGAGGGCGUGCGCGGGGGGCACCCGGAGACGAUGCUGGCGUACAACCUCUCGCCGUCCUUCAACUGGGACGCGUCCGGCAUGACGGACGCCGACAUGGCCGCCUUCAUCCCGCAGGUGGCCAGGCUGGGGUACGUGUGGCAGUUCAUCACGCUCGCCGGGUUCCACGCCGACGCGCUCGUCACCGACACGUUUGCGAGGGACUUUGCCCGCCGCGGCAUGCUCGCCUACGUGGAGAGGAUCCAGAGGGAGGAGAGGAGCAAUGGGGUGGACACGCUGGAGCAUCAGAAGUGGUCGGGCGCCAACUUUUAUGACAGGGUGCUCAAGACCGUCCAGGGCGGCAUCUCCUCGACAGCAGCCAUGGGCAAAGGCAAGUUUACCCUGGGUUGACACUUGAGACAUACAGUAGUAUUCUGAAUUUCUGAUGACAUCUCACCUGUAUUGAUUUUGUUCUUGUAGGAGCUACUGAAGAACAGUUCAAGGGCUCAUGGGCUAGGCCCGGAAGUGAGAGCAGUGGCCAACACGUUCUUGCCAAAUCCAGGAUGUGACGAGAGUUGUGAUAACGAAGAAGAGGGAGCUCUAAAAUAAUUGGAUAAUAAUAAAAGUGCAAUAAGGUCAUCGAUAGAGCUCCUGCAAAUAGAUAUUUUCAAAUCAAAUCGAACUAUAAUUGGAGUACUAGUUACUACUAUCUGAACUGAGUUAUAUAGCUCAAAUUGGAAAUCUCCAUUUGGGUUAAACUGUAUUGAUGUGAUGCGAAUCUUUUAGAUCGUCAACUGGAUAAUGGAUAUUGGAUUACAUCACAAUCCGUUGAGCACUCUUCUGCAUAUGAACUCAAAAACCGCACUGAUGCUACUGGGUAUUGUAUUACAUCAACCUGCAUAUAGUUGAAAUCAAGUACUCACAUGAAUAAUUAAAGCACCCAAAAAUUAGUUGUAGUACAUCAGAAAGGUUCAAUGACAGUUUCAAGGAAGUUGAUGCAGACAGGAUGUUUGGAAGGUACGUCCCGCAAUGAGGGUUUUGUUGUUCUACUUAGCCCAAGGCUUCAGAAUUGAUAGCACGAUGAUCCCUGCAAUGACGAGAAGCAUGAUAAUUGCAAUCAUCAUGCACUUCCUUGACUUUUUCUGCAGGUUCUUGGCGCUGCGCAGCGCUUCAGUACCAGUUUGCACAUGGUUUACAGCAUUCUGAACCUGAUAGUUCAAAUAAUCAGCAAGUAUAAACGACAGAGUUUUCAGUAAAAUUGGCGAGCAAAAAGAGAAGUACUGACUUGGCUCUCUAUGUUGUCCAAUAUCUCCCCUUGUGCGUCGACCAGUGCUGCCAUGUCUGUAAAAAUCUGAGAACAAAAUGGUACCUGUCAUAAUUCGGAUACAGUUUUGCCAGGGGUACUAUGUGCUGAACUAUGAACAUUGCAACCGCAAUGAUCAUAUGAGAAGGAGGGAAUAGUACUAAAAACUCUUGCAGUCCUGAUUUAUAACUCAAUAAAUUUCGAAGUUUUGCUUUUUCAUGAAGUCAGAGGAUCUAGGAAAAAAAACAACCUGUUGCAAUUCUAGCAGCUUCUUUUCAAUAUCCAUGACCACAUCAUGCCGUUCCUGAAUUUCUUCAACCGUGGCCAUAAUCUACUCGCGAAGUGCAUUUUAUCAAACAUAAGUAAGAAGGUCAGACGAACAUGAGACGAGGCACACAUGUACUUAGUGAAAUAAUACACCAGAAUUGACCUGCCCUCGACCAAUUCCCUGAAUUGCUUUCUCGAAGAUCUGCUCGCUGCUGCCAGUCUCAAUUAGGUUGUCAACCACCUAGACAUGUUUUGUGGAGCAUUGGAAUCAGAAGAGUACUAUUGCAUUCUCAUGUACCUAAUGUAGGAGAACAAGCAUAGUCACCUCCUCAGAAGGCUUUGUUCCAGUAACUGAAAUGAAAUUUCAAAAGAAACUGAAAUGAAAUUCCAACUUUCAGGUUUGUCAUGGAUUGUUUAAAAGACAAUUCAAACUAAAAUCAUAAUUAAGCAAGAAAAGGCCCCUGACCUGUGAAAAUCCUCCUCUCAACAACUUCUCGGUACUCUUGUUGGAUAGUUUGCCUUAGAUUCUGCAACAAACAAGGAUUACUAUACUGCAAGAUCAUUAUUUUUUGGCACAGAAGAUGGACAGUGGGUUGGAUAAUCAAACCUGGAAAUCUUUCAUUCUUUCUUUAAGCUUCUUCUUCAGUGCACUGCAGUCAUCAAGAACUAGUAAUAAAUCACCCUUUCUGUUGUUGGAAAAAGCAACAUGUGCAAUUGUUUUCUGUCUGCUUAAAAUACUUUUGGACUAACUAGUUCCCUAGAACUGGAUUCCAGUCAAUUUAUUUUACAUAAAAAUGAGUUUGGUGAUUGAAGGAUCAGAGUCAAAUCAACUUGAAUUUACUACUACCUCCGUUCCAUAAUUCUUGUCUCAAAUUUGCCCCAAAAUGGAUCUAUCUAUUCCUAAAAAACGUCUAGAUACAUGUAAUAUUUCGACGAGAAUUAUGGAACGGAGGGAGUAUAUUAUAGGUACAGUGUUUCUCGAGAUUAAAAAUAUCCUGUUGUAGUAAUCUAUAGUAUACACUAGCACCAAACAGGUAUCUGUACCAAGUUGUUUUUUCAUGAUUAAAUUUACUCAAGAGGGACAAAGAUCUUACAUGGUCAUCGACAUCCUCGAUCUAUCUACACCUGUCCCCUUCCCACAAUCUGGCUUUUUUCUGUUAUUAAGAUUCUGCAAACACAAAAAGGAGAGUAAGCUCAGAAAUAGCCCUGAACAUCAUCAGGUGUGUUCAUAUACUGCAGAUCUGGAGAGGUCUAUGUACAUUUCUGUCCAUUUGCUCUAACUUCAUUUUUAUGUUACGUGCGAUCUUCCCCACUUCAUCGAUGUCUUUCUCCAUGCGCCCUUUGAUUGCUGGAAGAUAUUCAUUUCAUCAUUUGAAUGUUCCAUUUAGAAAUGCAACUACGGAGUGAGUAGGAAACAUGAGCAUUGGCAGGUGGAGUUCGCACCUUUCAUUGCGGAUGCCUUAGUGACUGAUUUUGACUCCUCAUUGGCUUCCUAUAGGUGAGAAGAAAAACACAAUUGCCAACAGCGGAGGUUAUAAACUAAGGUGAUGGCAAAAUGCAAGGAUCGGAUAGUCAUGCAUGGAGAUCUAGCAUUUCUGAAACGUUGGAAGCAAAAACAAAAUUACCUGAAGUUUCUGAACUAUGUUUGACAUCUUGUCCAGAAGCAUCUCUAUGUCUUUGACCUAGAUCAAGAGGCCCUAAUUUAAGAAAACCCAGUGGCUACAACAAUUGUAGUUGACAUUUAAAUGCAUGAAAAGUCUGGACGGACUAGAUAGAUAACCGACUUCUUCGUAGAAGUCCUCGAGUCCAUAAUCUGAUUUGUUCUUGGAGUUUCGACGCCCCAUCUCGAUGUCCCUCUCCUUUGGGGGCUUCUCGUCCAUUUCAAAAGAAUCCUACAAUUCGAUAUAAAGCAUCAGCAGCAAGAACUAUCUAGUUAUCAACAAUCAUAUGCUGUGAAGUCAUCUACUGUGGCAUAAUUGCAGGUUUGAGUCGUUUGCUACAAGUUUCAAGAAGUUUUUUAAGAUAUUCUGAGUUCGUCACACACUCAUGCUUGAGAUAUCAGGAAUUAAUCAGGGCUUUCGCAGCCCGUCGUCGUCUAAUUACUGACCUAUGAUGAAACUAAAGGAAUAAAAGGAACUGUAAAGCAGUUGGUUGCGCGAACUGUCUCUGUUUGUUGGCCGCUCGCACACAAAAUUGAAGAACAAGGAAGAAAAAGAAAGGAACUGCACAAUAUGGACAGAAAUAAUCCUGUGGACUGUAAAGAACAACGUACCGUCAGAAGAUUGUUCAUCUUGUCGUCUUGAUUUCGUGCAGAGAGAUACACAAGACAGAAAGACGAGAGACAGAGAGAGGAGACGAGGAAGAUGAGAUCAAGGAAACGUAUGCUGCGAGCGCGGCGGCAACUUUGGAGAGAUGGUGGUGGCGUUGUCGUGGGACGCCGGCCAGCGAUGGAACCAAAUAACUAGCAGACGGCCGAGUUAGUAAGAAAUCAAAAGCGACGUUAAUUCCUUUCUUGCACUGGGUCCCGGAACAGACCCUUCCUUCUUCUCUUCUCCUGGGGGACGGACAGACAGACGCAAGAGACGGCGACGUCGUGCAACGCAAGGGCCCAUUCUGCUCGGUGUAUUACCGUGGGGACGGUUAAGCUGUACCACACGUGAAGCUUGAGUAUGCUGCAACUGGCGCGUCUGCCAUGUCGGAGAAGCAGAGGCGUUGCUGAAUUCGGCCAACUGGGCUGGCCCUAAAGAGCCAGGGGUCCAAGCCGCUGUUGUACAAACGUCCUCUCACCUAAUGGGCUGGCCCAUUUAGAAAUUGUACAUGUGAUGUUCAAGUUUUAUUCUUAGGCUCUAGACAAAUGUUCACGUCGUUGUGAUAAUUUGUUCACUCGUACCCAUGUAUAUUCAUUGCAAAGUUGUAAAAACAUAUCAGAACCUGUACAUGAAAUAUCCACAAAACAUAUAUUUCCAUGAAAAUGAUUAACAAGAGUUUAGCUAUCCAUGUGCCCUUCACGGAAACUCAACUGAACAUGCACGACCAACAACCGUGCGACGGAACUAACAGAAGGAAAAGGUCCAUGCGAUUAUAACACUCACGUGGACACUUUUUACGUGAGAGAAAAGCAAAUAGACAACUAAUUAUGUAGAUGCAACGAGAUUAAAUAUACAUCGGCGUCGCCGGACGAUUGAUAUAUACGGCGGGACUGGGAUUGGGCAAGGAGCCUAGGAUUUGUCAAAGGUGACGAUUUCUGGUUGUAAGUCACGUCUGCUCUGACAGUGGAGUAACAUAGGUGGUAACAUAAAUGCCAACUAACCAAAUUUGGUGAUGUGGCAUGUUAUUAAUGAGGAGAGAGAUGUUUGUGCUAACCAAAUAUGUUACCAUAACAUUACACAAACCAAUGUAAGAUGAGUUUAUAAACUUAUAAAUGAUAUAAUGCAUGACACCACAUAUAUGUUACUACCCACUAUGGAGGUAAUAACUUAAACUAGUAACAUACACAUGUUACUAAUCUAAGUUACUCUCCACUAUGAACCGUCAAUCUGAGUCUCAAUAACUUCAUUCUCUCUUAUUGAGGUUGAAUGCCAAUAUCAAUAUCAAAUUCUCUUAUUGCCAACUCCCAGAAGAAUUUUCGAACUCCGAGUCCGAGGUGACUGGCCUCUAAUUGAGCCCACGUUGGCAUACGUACGUGGACCUCUGUGAGCAAUUGAGUAACCACACAGUCCGCACUAAGUUUUUUUUUGCCAAGAAACGCAGGAGCUCUGCCAUGCAAUAUUAGAAGGUAGGAGAAAGUAUAUGUACAAGAGAUCGUGUCUCAAAACAAGUGAAAACCAAAAGAGAAAGGAAAACAGCCGCCCCAUCGGACCAAACACGUACAGUUGACCGAUAAGGCAGAGAAAACACCAAACGACCCCACUACGCGGUAUAUGGAAGAUAAUGCAAGCCUAUGGGAGUCGGUAGCGUCACGGGCCAUCAUAACGACGACGAAAGCCGGGGCGGCCACUACCUGGAAUAUACGCCUGUUACUUUCUUUCCAAAUGUUUCACAUGAUGUAAAUAGCCACUCCAUUGAAUUCACCUUUUCUGUUCUUCUCGACCGCCUUGGAGGUAGGAAUCCACCACGCAAUAGCGUCACUGUAGUCAGAGAGUUUGACUUGUUAAAGGAUGCCAAGACUAGCUGUAGUGCCAAAGCAAUAUCCCACACUUGGCGAGCCAAGGGGCAUCCAAUGAAAAUAUGGGUCCUGAUUUCAUGGGGUUCGGUGCAACGGGAGCAACCCGGAAUGUGCAGCGAGAGAGAGAGUCUUGUUCUGAGCGAGGAGCCACACACAAAGAAUUUGCAUUUAUUUUCAGCUUUUUCUUUCCAAACAAUUAAUAUUAGUGUGUUGGACAUGGAUGGAACCAAAGAAUUAGGCUUGUACGCAGGCGUAGAUGUCAGUCCGCACUAAGUUGACUGACCUCGUUUUGAGAGCUAGUGUGAUCAAAUUAUUAACGUAAGUCGACAGGAGUGGAAGUUUUGAGCAUGCCAACGUACGUGGAGUUCGUUACCCUGCAACACGAGCAUAUUUGACUGGGCCAGCUCGUACGUGUUUUCAAAGCUCCUGAGCUAGUGGUCCUUCACGCACGAGCGUGUGACUGGGUCACAAACUCUGGGGAUUGAUUCUGUGUAACCAUUAAUUGCAACUUUCAGGAAGCAUCAUCAGCCAGAAGCUCGAACUAAUUAUUUUCUGCACUAUAAGUAGGUGGCAGCAAAGCACACUCAAAAGCACACUGAACCACGGUACUACAGUGCUCCGGAAAAAGAACUGUACUCCUAGCUAGUAGCUAUAGUUCAGCAGUAUACUCCGGAGUAGUAGUUCCCAACGACCAACAGGAGAGGUGGUGUCGAUCAUCCCGAUUGAACGUAGCUUCUUCGUCCUCUAGCCAGCUGCUUCUACGUACGAGCGCGCGCAUAUUGCCCGAUGGCUCCAGACCCCAACAACUUCGACGACUCUGGGCCAAAGCAUAUAGGCGGUUCUUCUGCAAAGACGAUUGACUGGUAUAUAUGCUUGUUAUAUAUGCGCUCGAUUUUAAGGUAUUUGCAUGCACCCUCGUCUUCGUGGCGCAUGCGUGCACUUCCGGUACGUACAGGGCGAGCUGAUAUGUAUUUCCCAUAUCAAUCUACAGGGACAACGAGGAGCACUGCCGGUGCAUCGCCGAUUGCCUUGUAAAAGGCACUUACGUCAUGUGCGGGGCGAGAGAAGAACUUGCGCCGGCGUGGUCGGAAAACUUCCAUUUCCGGCUCAAGAGAAGCCCUCACCGUCACUGAUGACCGACGCACCCCGACGCACCCCGACACCCGUCCGCUCAUCUUUGGUGCCAUCUACGAGCGCAUGCCCGACGCACCCCGACACCCGUCUGCUCCUCACUAUAUCGUCGCCUUCCGGGGCACCAAGCUGAAGCACGCCAAGAUGGCAGCCAAGAUGCAAGACCUCGACGAUGACUUCCAUAUAUUGGUGAACACCCUGCGGGACACGAAGCGGUACCGACGCGCACGCGAAGCGGUCGACGAGCUCCUAAACGUCAAUAAGGACGAAGCUAACCCUGAUAGCAGCUGCGUCGUGUGGCUCGCCGGGCACUCUCUGGGGGCGGCUGUGGCGCUGGAAUUGGGGCGGGCCAUGAUGUUGGAGCGGGUCGAUGAUCAGCGGAACCUCCCGACCUUCCUCUUCAACCUACCACGGGUGUCAUUGGCAUCGCUGGUCGACAUGCUGCUCCGUAAAGACAAGAGGGACGCCCUUUACGCCGCGAGUAACACGGUGAAGGUCGGCGUCGUGUCGGUCCUCAGUGAGCACCAGAAACGCAUGGAGAAAAUCUUCGAGCGGCUGGCCAGGUGGGUCCCGAAUCUGUACGUGCACGAGAAGGACCCCAUCUCCAACGGCCUCAUUGGUCACUUUGGGCGGCCGCAGCAGCUCCGCGAGUGGUGCUGCCCCGAUAUCGUCGCCAAGGCAGGGAUGCAACUGUCGCACCGUGACAUGUUCAGCUCGUUGUUUGGCCAGGAGAAGAUGCAGCCGUGCCUCCUGCCGUCGGUGAUGUUAUGGAUAAACUCGAGCGUCGACGAGCAGGCGGGCAACUGGUUCGACCUGCGGUUGGCGGCACACAAGCUCCAGCAGUGGUGGAAACCGAACAGCGAGCUCGAGCAGGCGGUCAACUUGUUCGUCCAGUGGUUCGACCAGCGGUCGGCGGCACACGAGCUCCAGCAGUGGUGGAAACCGAACAGCGAGCUCAGUUUGAGCCCCAGGCGACAUAUCUUUUUUGAGGAUAUGCACGGCACGGAUACGGGAUACGGACACCGUGACACCACAAUUUCUCAAAAACCCUGAUACGGGGAUACGUGCAUAAACUUCGUAUUUCUAUGCCAGUGGUUGUUCUGGUGACCAGAUGAUUGAAGAGGAGUCUUCAAAGUGGAAGAUUGUAGGUCUACUGAGUAGUCCUUUGUACUUUACAUAUAAAAGGUUGUCUUAAGUUCAAAACAUAACUUGAGAUUUUUCUUUGAUUUUAUAUAUAUAUAUAGAUCUCAACAGCUUGUAGUCGUGUAUAGUUAGACGCUCGAGUAGUUGGGAUUGUUCCCGGUCUGUUUCUUCUGUUCCCUGUAAAAUCUCCUGUAAAUCUCUCCCGAUGUAACUUCCUGGUUUCUACUAUAAAUACAACAGCGGCCCGAGGCAAAAGGUUCAACGCUUCCCAUCUCGGUUCUGUUUCUUUACAUAUGCGCUAAUAUCGCCUACAAACACCACAUCUGAGCUCUUUUAAAAGAUCAGGCAGCCUAGCUAGGCAGGAAGGUGUGGCCUUGAUGAUUAUGCUUGUGGUGUGGGAGCAUGGAUUUUCAUGGAUGGAGAGAAAUACGUGUGUGUUCUAAAACGUGUCAACUUUAUUUUUUUUUCGAAGAAUCGGGAGCUUUAUUACUCAGGAAUAGGGUUACAAUCCGAAGCAACAAAAUGAGAAAUAAGCACUGGAUUGGAAUAUCGUCAACCCAAACAUUGGUGACCCGUGACCCGUUCCCUGCUUGCAAGACUAGCUAGCUAAUCUGCAAUCCUAUUUUGAUGACGACUGAUUUUCACGAGUAAUAGCUCCCUCAGGCCACUAAUAAGCGCCUGCUCAACCUCCAUAAUCCGCGAAUAUAUAGAUCGAUCUAGCCCAGGUUCCAUCAUAUACUUGAUGCACACAACACUAUCAGUUUGGAUCAGACCAGGCCCCAACUCAAGCUGAUUAGUCAGCCUGAUGCCAUCGACAAUUGCAUGAAGUUCUGCCUCCAAUGCAUCUGUGCGCCCUGGGAGAAUGCAGCAAAAACCAGCCAACACCACCCCAUCAUGAUCACGGAUAACAACAGCACAUCCAGCAUUACCAACUAGUAAACAUUUGGACAUCCGUCGGUGCUCAACACUUACAACUCCUUUGACACCCAUCAUUUUAUUUUUAUUUUUUUGACGAUCAAGGCAGGUGCUCUGCCGUUUCAUUAAAGAAGAAGAGAUCCGAUCAAUACAAAAUUAACAAAGAAGAGAAAGAAAAAGGAUCCGAAGCUGAACAAGAUCAGCUCGGCUGUACAACUACCAGAACUACAAGCCUCCGGCCAACAUUAAAAACUCCAAGUCCUCGUCAAUGAGACUCUUAACAGCAGGAACUUCAGCCUUCUUGCCAUGAAAAAUCCUGUUGUUUCUCUCUUUCCAUAUGUUCCAGACUACAUAUGCCCCAACGAUCACUGCCUUCUUCCUCUCCGUCAACAUGGCCGAGGACUGUAGCUUCCUCCACCAUAGAGGGAUACAGUCAGCAUGAGAAGCAGACCGCGCCACCUCCGGGAGCAGAUCCUUGACCCUGUGCCACAGCUCCUUGGCGAACGGACAUUGCAAGAAAAGGUGAGCAGCUGACUCCAACACUUGGUCACAGAAAACACAGCAAUCAUCAUGAGGUCAUCCACGGGCACUCAACCGAGCCGCAGUCCAAAUUCUGCUCUGGAGCAAGAGCCAAACAAAGAAUCUGACCUUGCCUUCCACUUUGAUUUUCCACGCUUUUUUCCAACAUUGGCUGGCGAAUCCUCCCAAAGAAUUGGCAGAGGUAAGCAGAUUUAGCCGAGCAGAUCUCAUUAGCCUCAAACCUCCAACGAACAGAGUCAGCAUUCAAAAAUCAACUUGUUUGGCCAGCGCAAAUUGGUACAUGAAUUCAAAUCUUUAAUUGCAUGGAACCACACUAUAACUAACCCUAAUUCUUCUCUAAAAGCCAAAAAUUCUCUAGAAUUGUUUCUCAUUGUACAAAUCUAUGUGGCAGACAAACAUGUAUUUUGAAUCCGCAAUUCAAAUUCAACCAAAAGAAAUCCUAUCAAAAAUUUGUUAGGAGUAAUCCUUUGUUUUUUUUCUUGGUGACCUCUUUAUGCCUUUUACUCUGAUGAGAAAAUACACCGCUGGUCUGUUAACUUGACAUGUAUGUGCAGAUUAGUCACUGUAUGGACAAGUAAAGUCAGAAAUAUGAAUUUGUAUUAUUUAGAAUGCUAAAUUUGAGUGUUACAACUUGACACGUAUGAACAAGCAAGUCAAAAAUACGAAUUUGUAUGUUUCGGCUCCCAUGACAUGCCAACCAACCUAGACUGCUGGUCGAGCGAGAGCUUUUUUUUUUUUUUGAAGGGAGCGAGAGCUUUUUGGCCCGAAGUUAUUCUGCAGAGGUAAUUCGCGAAGACUGUAUCUUGUAAACCGGCCCUUCUUCCUCGCUCGGUCGAAUCCCCAUCCCCGAAAUCCCUAAUUUUCUCCCACGUUGACUCCGCGAGCCUGUCCCGGUGCUGUCGCCCGUGCGGCCGCUUCCUCUGCCCUUUCUGUGCCCUCGAUCAGGAUAGGUGCGUUGGGAAGCAAUGCACGAGGCCUACGGCGGCCGCGGGGGCGCGAGCGGGCGGUGCAAGCCGGGGCAGCGGCGGGGAAGGCUCGGGCGCUCGCCGGGCGAGCAGGGACGCGAGGCGCGGCGGCCGGCGGGACAUGACGGCAGGUCGCGUGCGUCGGGCGUCGUCGUCGGUGGGGCUUGGCCAUCUGCGACGGCUGGGCGCGCCCGCGUCCGUGGCGGCGACUGGGAGGUCGGCGGCAUCGGCGGGGCUCGGUUGUCGCGGCGGCGCCGGGUGCGCUCAACGGGCGGCGGCACGAUGGCUGGAGCUCUGGCAUAGAGGGAUAGCGUUGGCACGAUGCGGAUGAAGCAAGAAGACAGCAAACAGUCACUGACCUGCGGGACCGUGACGUCAGUGGGGCGAGAACGAGAAAAAGAGACAUUGACUUUGCGCUUCCGUACAUGUCAAGUAGUUGUAACACUCCAAUUUAGCAUUAUUUGCAAGUACGGUGACUAAACCAAGUUAAUAGACUAACGGUGCAUUUUCCUCUUUUAUUGUUGUACAGUUUUUUCUAAUUAAUGAAUUGAGUCUAUUAUUUUGCAUUUAUAUAAAGAACGAUUUUGCUACAUUUAACUCAUUUUAACUUUAUUUAGAAAUAAGUUGAUUCCUCACUCAUUAGAUAUAAUUUGUGCUUUAGGAUUCAAAAUGAAAGAUAGAAAUAGAAUAAUGGAAUGGUGUUCAAAUACUAAUACAACGGCUCUGACUCGAUCCUGCACUAAGGAACAGACGUCUUUUUUGUGGGGGUGUGAAAGGGUAUUUGGUCAGUGUGGGAUUUUCUUUUUUCGAAAAUUCUAAUUGGGACAUGUUUCAACCCAUGUCAUCGAGUGGCACAUCCCGUGGAUCCAGAGGCACCUCCCAAGCUUUCUCCAUUUGACCAUUUGGGAGUACUUAGACAAAAAUGCAAAACUAUAACCCAAUGUCAUUGGAAACCCUUUUGUCCAAAUGUUAUCUCCACCUCUUUCAUUUCUUCUCCAAAUUUGUGAAAAAGAAUAUGAAGUGUUCACUUGUGCGAAAAUUGUCACAAACUUGUGCGUUUGCCCAUUUGUGUAAACAAAAUCAUGAGAAAGGCAAAUAGGAGCUUCCAUUGAACAUUAUGGUAUUUUUUCUAUCCCCACUUUGGACAAAUAUGGAGUUCAAAUGAGUAGUCGUCCUUGGAGAUGCCCUAACACCCAAUCUGAGCACAAUCAUGCAUGUGCCCCUGUCCACCGUGGACCCAUUCCGGUUGAGCGCUGCCAUGCCCACGGUCAACGGCAAUGGAGGUUCCCAACAGCCCAACGUGAGAUAAGUGUCCACAAAAGUAAACAUUUCACUGGGUCACUCCCGUAUAUUCAAAGAACGUAAGCUCCUUAUCUCUUCGGCCAAGGGAACCCUCUUGUCCUAUGCACGUAGACCUUCCUCUCCCAGUGGACUUAUUUUGAGUAACCGUUACAAGUUGCAACUUACAGAAAGAAUCCUUAGCAGCUGGCAGCUGAAACUACUUGUAAUUCUAAAGUCCAACCCAUGUUACAUAUAUGCACCUCGUAGGAGAGUUACAUUCGCGCCAAAAGCAGAGGAGACUUGGGCACACAGCACUAGCUUCAUCUUGAUCCGUAGUUCCCAAGACUGCCAAAAUGGCUUCAAGCGUUGACCUUGAAGACCGCUUUGACAUCUCCGGGCCGACGCACAUCAUGUCCAGAGCCGGCGGCACCGGCCGUUCUUCUCCAACGACGAUUGACUGGUAUGUUGUCGGAUCAGCCUUAGUCCAUGCCUAUAAGUGCAUCAACUGAUCCAUGUCAGUGGAUUACAGGAACAAGGAGGAGCACCGCCGUUGCGUGGCCGCCUGCAUCGUGAAAGGCACGUACAUCCUGGAGAACGACAGGACCAGGUGCAGGGUGCACGCGGAGGCGCUGGCGCCGCCGUGGUGGGAGAGCUUCCACUUCCGCCUGGUGGACGUGCUCAAGGACGAGUCGUACAAGCGCAGCGGCGACAAGUUCAUCUUCGGCGCCAUCUACGAGCACGUGCCGCCCCCGGGCGGCCGCCACCACCACCCAUCCGCUCCACGGUACGUCGUCGCCUUCCGUGGCACAAUGCUGCUGCAUCCCAAGGCGAUCCACGACCUGUGCCUCGACUUCAAGAUCCUGGUCAACACGCUCGCGGAGUGCAAGCGCUCCCAGCGCGCGCACCAGGCGGUGGACACGCUCCUCAAGACCAUCGCCAAUGGCAAAACUGCCGCAGGAGGAGGAUCAUCCGACAGCGUGUGGCUCACGGGGCACUCUCUGGGCGCGUCGCUGGCUCUGGACGUGGGGCGGGCCAUGAUGUCGGAGCAAGGGCUCAGCAUCCCGACGUUCCUCUUCAACCCGCCGCAGGUGUCGUUGGCUCCGGCCAUCAACAAGCUGCUCCCGUCGGAAGGGCUGAGGAGGGAUUUGUACGCCAAGAGCAACCUCGUCAAGGCCGGGCUCGGGCUGGUGCUCAGCCCACACAGGAAACGCAUGGAGAAGCUGUUCGAGCUGCUGUCCCCGUGGGCGCCGAACCUCUACGUGCACGACAAGGACCUCAUCUGCCAGGGCUUCAUCGACUACUUCGGGCAGCGGCAGCAGUGGGAGGCGCAGGAGGAGCAGCGGUGCCGCGGCGGCGUGUCCAAGUCGUCGUCGGCGAUGACGCUGUCGUACCGUGACAUGCUCUUCUCCGUGCUCGGCAAGGAGAAGGAGCGGCCGCACCUCCUGCCGUCGGCCACGCUGUGGAGGAACUCCAGCGUGGGCAGCGACGCGCACGGGCUCCAGCAGUGGUGGAAACCGGACGGCGAGCUGAGGUUGAGUGACAGGCGUUAUAGCUAUCCUUGAGCAUGAACUUGUGUGCCACGUUGUAUGCUGCUUGUUUGUCAGAUUACUGUGUAUCUUCUUACUUAUCAUUUUCUCAGUGAUGGAGACUAGACGCUAGGUUUAAUUUAAGGGGUUCAGUAAAUGUCUGUUUGACCGUUCCCUAAUUGGGCGACAGUCAAUUUUUUCUUCGGAGAUUCUAGUUUUGAUCUUGGUGAACGUUUAUGCCCGAAAUGAACUAGAGUGAUAGUUGGGGCCAACUCCGAGCAUUGACUUGACAAAAAAUUUGCUUCCGUCUAAACGUAGAAUAAACUUUUGAACACAACUAAAAUUCAGUAGGACAAGUUUUGACCAUCGUCCAAACAUAUUCUGAUCUCCUCCUCUCAGAGCAUCUACCAUGCAUGGUGCUUAGUGAGGUGUUUACAAAAAAUAAACCAGUUUUUACUUAAGCACGUGUGUCUAUUUUGUACGGGACAGGGCACCUCUAGUAUAGAAAUAAGCACCGGUGCUUAAAAAACUGGUUAAUUUUAUAAGCACCACCUUAAGCACUUUGCAUUGUACAUGCUCUCAUGCUCCUUCGCUAGCAUCACCCGUGAUGUUCUCAACCAAGAACCAACCGACAAAGCGAUGUGGCCAACUUGCCAUGGUCUAUGCCUCCCAAUGCCGCUCGACACUGCCACGGGAAACCGGAAAGGGCGCUAUGCCCAAUCCCAUGACGGUGGUAGAUCUGCAUUCGGUGAGUCCACUCGCUAGCCAUCGGUCCCCCCCCCCCCUUCUAAAAUCCAAAAUCAUAUAUAAAGAAAAGGUUGUGUCAAGUUCAAAACAUGAGGCACCACACACAACAUCUCUUGACGAGGCAAGCAAAACGAUAUAUGGGGCGCAGCUGGGGAGGCAAACCCUAGCCGCCACCGCCACCGCCACCCCUCCCCUACCCCUCCACCCUCUUCCUGGUCUACCUCCUCCUCCUUGCUACCGCUUGAGACGGAGGUCACGGCUGGCCCUCAAGGAAGGCGACAGCGGGGUGUCUUCUCUGCGCUGGAAGGGAGGCAGGCGAUGCACGCCGCCGACAGCAUGGAUGGUGGCUGGUUGCAGGUUGUGGCUGCGGGUGGUGUGGUGGCUGGUCAGAUCUGGCCCCUGAGCAGGCUUAGUUGCGGCCAUAUGGCACCGGUCGAGGUACAGGAGGCGUUGCCGUCGGUCCAUCAUCGUGGGCGCCGUCGGCACCGUCCUCAAAGCGGGCGGCUGUUACCUUCCGCGGUGCUACAGGUCGAGGUGGUGCAGGAGGCACCGCCUGGGACCACGGUUUUCGAUUCAAUGUGCAGCUACAAGGCUAUUUUUGUUAUGGUGAUGAGGUAACCCUCGGUCUGAUUUGGCCGAGAUACGUCGGAUCUUGGAAUGGGAGGUUCAACUUGGUUUUAGGAAUGCCAGAUUUGUUGCAGAAAGAUGUAGGUGUCGUGCUCAGAUAGGUAUAUAGAUUGUUCUUCAUGGCCUGUUGGGAGGCGACGAUUGAUCUGGAGUCCCGGCCUUCGGCGAUGGCAACACUAUUUGUUUGCGUUCAUUGGGCGCGGAUUCUAUCAAGAACGGGUGCUACGCAUGACAUCUAAUGGAGAGGCGUCAAGUCAUGCCUGUUGCUGCUGGUCCAAAGGUUGUGCGACAAGGGCGAGAAGCAAGGCGGUGGUUGGCUCGUCUUUUAGCAUCCUCUCUGUGGGAUGAUGGUACAUGCAGAUGUUUCGCUUGUAUCAUAGGUUAGUGUUAGUUUGGUGGACACUUUUUUUUUUCUUUUCGGGUCGACUUUGUUCGGCUUCUUUGCCUAGCUUUGCUUGGUUUUAAUAAUAUAUGGUUGUGUGCAUCAGUUAAUGCAGAGACCAGGGGUUAUCCUCCUUUUCAAAAAAGAAAGUUCAAGACAUGACUUUGAGACCCGAUUACACUUCCCUACUUCUAUGUGUAGUAGGAGUGGUUAAUCCUGAGAACCAGGCUUGGUGUUUAACCAAGAUUAAAAAUCAUGUUACUCAUACUUAAUGGCUGUGUGCAUACCUAGUUGGUGCAGAGGCCGGGGAAGUGAAAUUCUCCCCCAAAUUUUAAGGGUACUGGACCUCUCGCGCCGUCCCCUGUGAGGCGACCGGGAGGGAGCCCUAGUCCCUGCCGCCAGCCCUCCCCCACACCUCCCUCCUCCCUCUCGGCCGCCACCAGAGAGCGCGGCCGAGCGAAGCUGGGUCGUCGCCGGCGACAGCGGGGAAAUCGUGUCUCCUCGCACGUGGGUUCGGCGGCGUGGGACGCUACCCCAUGGCCUGGACGUGCUGCAGGCUGGGCAUCAUGGCGGCGAGGCCCUCUGGCAUGUGGCAGCAGCGACACGUACAGAGCGGCAUCGGCGGUCUGGUGGCUGCGAUCUGGCGGUUUCGCCUCCGAUCGAGAAGGGCGGUGGUUGGGGCGCAGCGCCGGUGGAUCUAUGCACGGUGGGGAUGCUUAGGCCCGAUUUCGAUUGGUACCGGGCACCUCUGAUCUGUUUUACAAGUUCGUCAGCACAGCUGUAUCGUUCCAGUCAGCGUCGGGAUUGGACCUGUGUGGAUGCUGGUGAAAACCAAGGUGGACGUUGGAGGCGUCUUUGCUUCUUUUCCCUUGUUGAAGGCAUCAUGUUUGCAGCUGGCACUUCCAUGCUCGGGAUGCUCCGGGGGUAAACCUAGAUCUGGAUCUCCUGGAUCAGACGAUGAUGGCACUUUUGAGGUCAUCCCUCCCGGGGGCAUCGUUUUGGCACGUGCUGUGACCGGAGGGGUUUGCUGGCGGAGCGGUGCUCAUCUACUGCGUCGACGGCGAUGGGUCUCGGCAGCGUGGCGUGGCGGGGUCUCGAUGAUGAGCACGUUUCGAUGGACAAGCGCAGGGUGGUGGCGCUAUCUGGCGCCGUUGUGACUUCGAUGGCAGGCCUGGCAAGGUUAAUUAAUGCUUUGAUCCCUGUCAUGAAGAUGGGUCGGCGGAAGAUGGUGGCGGUUGAUUCGGAAGCGUGCGCACGUGGUGCGCGCUGAGGAUCUGUUGGAUCGGUUGUGCCCUGUUGUGGCCAACAAGGUAUUCGGUUGUGCAGCGGAAAAUGACGUGCGUUGGUCAGGGUAUGAGGUCCCAAUCAUGUUCACCCCCUUCAUCAAGUUUGUAGGUGUUCCGACAAUUGUCGUUAGAAAUACGGCUUUGGGUUGAUCAAUGUAUUUGUUUUGUCAAUUUCGUUGAAUAAUAUAAUAAAAAAAGUUGUGUGCAUCAUUUUGAUGCAGAGCCCGGGCUUCAUCCUACUUUUUGAAAAAAGGCAUACCGUUAAUUGUGACCUUCUAACAACCAAUCGGUCUUGUGAAUUGUGAUCGGAACUAUUUCUGUGUAUCGUGUUUUUUUCUUGAAAAGGAGAGAAUACCCCCGACCUCUGCAUCAAUCGAUGCACGCAGCUAUAAUAUUAUUAAGUCAAGUAUCAUAACAUCAUCCACAAGUACAUCUCAAGAGUGCUAAAAAAACAUAAAGGCUGAAAAGAUCAUCCAUUAUCCAGCCUACGCUCGGCGCGCCACCCAAACUGGUUGUAGAAAGCCCGUUCUACCGUCUCCAUACGGCUGCACCCAAAAUUCAUAAAAUCCUUGGCCCCCGUCGGAAGCAGUGGGGAUCAAGUACGGAGCCAGUACGCCGCCCAACAGAUCACCUGCAUAAAUUGGAAACUUUCUGUUAAAAACGAGGUCAUUCCGACAAUUCCAAAUAGACCAACAAAUCGCACAAGAAUCAACAAGAAUGAGCGAUUUGAGAGAUUUCUCCAUCGCAUUGAGCCAACGACCAAACAUAUUCGAGAUGCAAGUUGGUGGUGGUAGAUUAAAAGUCACAAAGACAACUCUCCACACCAAACGCGCCAAAGUACAAUCGAAAAAAAGGUGAUGAAUAGUAUCGUGUUAAUAUCACUUAUGUCAACUCUUUUAAACGAUUAAGCAACCAACCAUGAUCCGGGGUUAAUUUUUCACACUGGUCUAGUAUCACGUAUAUAUACCUUAAUCCAAUGUUUUGCUUACAUAGUGUAGCAACAUAGCAUGUCUAUAUGACCUGGAAAAACUGAGAAGGUUUAUGUUUCCGAUGUAAUCGCGAAGAGGGGUACCAUGCUAGUUUUUUGACGAAGGAAAGCAGCAAAUCUAAAAAUUAUUAUCGGCAUAGGAGAUAAGUUCAUAUUACAACCUUGAUCUAACCACAUAGUUUAAAUUACCGCCACAACUCCAAUACUCCAAUACCUGUUAGAACAAACCUCCAACUAUUCAUAUCGUUUAAAUUACCCCUCUCAACUCCAAUACUGAUAAGAACACAACCUCCAACUAUUCAUACAGUUUGCACGGACUUUUGUCCUUUUGAAAUCCAACAUUUCAAAAUUCCACAUAUAGUAUCUUUGAACUGAGCAUCAUGAUAGGUUUCAACCAUCGUGUUCCUUGUGAACAAACCUUCAAACCAAGUCUGAGUGCUUGAAAAAGCAACAAGACUGCGUGCAAUCUGUUCGGGAGGUGAAUACAUGGAACACCCCCUGACAGGCUGACAACAUUGGAUUUUUCAGAGACUCUUGAGCAGUGCUCAAAGUAUGUCACAGUGAGGUGUGAAAAAAAGAGAGGCAGUCAUAGCAUUGCAAGCAACAUCAAACACAAGAAAAAUGCAACCACAUGAACAUAUGUAGUUGUUACACCGAGGCGCACCCAUUGCAGUUCAUAGCAAUGCUAACAGAAAGAUGAAGCUGUAUGUAAAUAGCAUACCAAGCAUCCUCCGUAGGAUCAAACAUGCAAAAUUGGAGCCAAUGCCUACUGUAAGACGGCUCCUCGUUUGUUGAGGCAAAUGAGCUUUAAAAGCUCCCCUCCAGCCCAAUCGCCUUUUUAUUGGCAUAAACAGGAAUCCAAGCUGCCAAUUAGAUGGGUUCCGGAGCAAGAGGGUACCGACAGUACACAGGCAUACUACAAUGCCAAUCCUCUCACUAACUGGACUCAAAACAACGUAAGCUCCUAGUGCAAAUGCUGCAACCAUGCUUCUCGUUGCCUGCUCCAUCGAAAUCACAGAGAAGAACAUGUAGAGAGCACGAAGCAGUGGAUGAACAUGUUCUGAACCAGCAUAGGUGAGCCAGAUAGUGGACAACGUAGAGCCGACAAAUGCAAGUGUGUUCGCCAUCACAAAUGCCUUGAAGGUAUACCGGUGUGACAAAAUUGGUGCACCAGCAUGUGGAUGACCAUCAGAUAUGUUGCCACCGGGCAGAGUGAAUACUGCUGCAAAUGUGACUGUUGAGACAAGCACAGAGCCAACGACUAAAUUCUGUGCAAUGUUGCUAAAUUUCUUUAGCUCAUCUGCAGAGGCUUUCCCAAUGUUGAACUCAUCUAUAAAAUGAUCCAGGCGACGCGGACUAAGAACUGCUCCAGUCCAUGCCAAACAGCGAAGUAUAAUGACCUGUGGAUUCUAUCGGAAGAAAUCAACAUUUCAGACCAGCAAAGCAGCUGAAAUUAAAUGAAUAGAGUGGUAGACUGAGAAGUUUACCAGUGUGUAACUGAUCCCUUUGUCAGUUGCCAGUACCGCAAGAUCUAACACAGUGAGGCCCUGGUUGUUCACAAUAUUUGGCAGUAUGCCUUUAUUUCCCAUCAGAAGGCUCACUAUCAUCUGGUCUGCAUUCUUCACUGCAAGAUGCAGAGCUGUAUUCCCUUCAUAAUCCAUGACAUUCACCAUUCUUUCAAGUUCUGGGGUACCACAGAAAUGCCAAACAACUUUCCAUUUCUUAUGCUCGACAGCAAUAUGUAGGAAGUUUCUUCCUUUACUGUCAAGCUUCUCAUCAGAAUCUGGGCAGUGUUUGCAGAGUUCAUAUACCAGUUUACCAUAUCCCAUUUUAGCAGCAAUAUGUACAGGAAACAAGCCAUUUGAAUCUCGGACAUAUGCUGGAGAAGUAUCAUAUCUCAAUAACAGCUUCAAUGCGGAAAUGUUUCCAACAGAUGCAACAUAAUGAAGAGGAGUACUUCCUGAAUCAUCAACUUGUUUCACAAGAGCCGGGUUCCACUGCAACAGUUCCUGUGACAUUUCUAUUACUAAAUAACUUAGUAGAUUUUAAAGAUACUGCUUGAAUGAAUAAUAAACUAGUAGUGAAAUUACUGUACGAUAACUUUGUUGUCUCUUGAAGAAGGAAAAACGUAUCUGUAAUUCCAUAAAAAUAUUCACAAGAAUCAAUGAAACCCAAAUAAAGUACACGUGUAAUGGUCGUUUGGUAAAGUAGGAAAGAAGCGAACAAAAGAAAGUAAGUGAUCAAGAUUCAUAAAGCACUUUAUCCUGUCAAUUUUAAUGAUGAACAUUUUGAACUUGCAUGAUAAAAGAAUCUCCUACAGUCCUACUUGGUCCCUCUUUCAUAUUCCAGCUGUCCACAUUUAUCCACAUACAAAGCACAUGAGAGUUUGGAUAGAUAUGGGGUCGGAUACAGGACUAUAUGGGUAAUGUUUAUUGAGGGCAGCAUGUAAAUUUGGGCAGACCCAGCCGGGUGAUUGGGUGGGGCGGACCCAAUAAAUUUGAAAAUCCUUUUAUCAUAAGUAAAAAAAUCUAAAAAAAUUAGAGAAAAUAAUAAAUUGUAGUGUAUUUGCCCCACCCAAUGUUGAAAAUACACUACUUUUUCACCCAAUUUUGAAAACCUGGGUCCGCCACUGAAAUUUUGUACUUGCCCUUGGUUUCUUCUUUGUAAAGUUCUUUAAAUAAGAUUGUAUCGGAUGAUGCGAAAUGGAAAGAGAUGUGGAUUUCAAGUCUGUCAUAUUCCAAUAUCGAUAAAACAUACUCCCUCCGUCCUGAAAUAAGUGACGUGGAUUUUGUAUAGUCGGGACGGAGGGAGUAGAAAUAGUCCAAGGUUUCACACUGAGAUUUGAUUACAUAUUAUAAAGUCAACUUUGAAUUUGAAUUGCAGUUUACACAUCAUCCAAAUUUAAUGAACUUAAAUACCAAGUUCCAUUCUAUCUAAUCUCCAAAAAUAAUUCUGUUUGUCAUGUUCUUAAAUCAUGAAGAUUGCCAUUUAAUUUACACAUACGUCCCUAUAUGCUUACGUUACACAUCCUUAUCAGUAUACAGUAAUAAUAUAAGAUCCUUUUCACACAUAUCCCUGAUUUAUUUCAUGAUUCACAUGUCGUAUAAAGAAAGCCACCAGUCCAUUCGAGUAGUAGUCUCCCAAACUGCAGUGAUCCAGUCCAAGGCUGCCCAUUGGUCAAAUCCCUGUAGCGCCACUAACACUAAAGUGCGUACCUACACUUACUCCACUACCAGUAAUCAAUCAUUAUACCCUCGCGAACUUGCUCCAUGUUACCCAGUCACCCCGAACCCAACGUUGCUAUCAAUUUUUCGGUAAACCCCAACACUGCUGUCACUACUAAGUUAAUUUGAAUACAGCCCAAUGCACAGCUUGUUUCUUCUAGUAAUAGAGAUCAAGCUAAAUAAAAAUCUCUUUAAUUUGUGUAAUGAUGUUCAGGUGGGGAUGAAAUCCCCCCCCCCCCCCCGGUUAUAUCUCUCUCAAAAAAAGCUUAAUAAACUUGCUUUACAAGCACAUGUCCUGAUGUCUGAUCUUAAUGCAAUCACAGAUAAUUCCCAUUAAUUAUGUGUGAAUAGAUUUUCUUUUUCUGACUUCGCACAAGUAUUAUGCAACCCUCAGACCACAAAGAGCUAAGCGAUAAUCUUGCUCACAAAUUCGCAGACACAGACCAAUAUAUAUGAAUCUCGAAACUAAGUCGAUAACUAGUCAGGCACUCACCGUUGCUCGUGAGGACAGCGGCGUGCAGCACCGUGCGCAUUCCCGGGCCCGUGCCCGAACACAAUACAGGCACCUCAUUGUCGUCGUCGUCGCUGCCGUUCCUAUAUGACUUUAUAAGAACGCGCACCAUCCCAAGUGACCCUGCCGCCGCAGCCAUGUAAAUCGGCGUCUCCCCCGAGCCACUGCACACGCCGGCGAGCCCCGGGUCCGCAGCGGCCAGCGCACGCGCCGCGGCCUCGUGCCCGCCCCGCACCGCCUCGUGGAGCGCCGUCUCCCCGCGCCUGUUAGUCGCGCGGGUGAAGGCGCGCAACGAAGAGGCGGAGGAGGAGGAAGCGAGGAGAAGAGCGACGACCUUGUGGGCACCAGGAGCGCGAGCGGCGAGGUGGAGCGGGGUGUCCAGAGCGGCGUUGCGCGCAGCAAGGAGGCCAGGGGCACGGCGGAGGAGGAGCGCGGAGAGCGCCGCGUGCCCGCCGGAUGCGGCCACGUGCAGUAGCGUGUUGCCUGCCGCGGUGGCAGCGGUCUCGAGGUCCGGCGCGGCCGGGUCCGCGAGGAGCUCCUUGACGAGCCGCCGCUCGUCGCCGCUGCGCGCCGCGCGAAGGAGCGCAGGGCUCAGGGUUGGUGCGGCUACCACCGGCCGAGGCGUUGGGCAGGAAGCGGUGGACGGGGUGGACGGCGGUGAGGCCUCUACCUCCGGCGAGGCCAUUGCUUGUGUGUCGGUGGGGCGAGGGGGAAAGUGGGGGUGGCGGUGGUGGACUCGUGGUGGGGGGGUGGUUUGCUUUGGAUUCAUGUCAGUUUGGUUUGGCUUCGACAAUCUAACUGGAGGUUCAACGGACUACUAGUAAUCGAUACAAGAUCAUUUUCUUUUUGCCCCCUCAGCGUAUUUGAUAAUAUUGUAUACGGAGUAGUAUUUCUGUUCUUCAAAAAAGAUUCGUGACAAACCUUAUGUCCAACCAGUUUUUGACAAUUUUAGUCAAACAAAUCUUAAUACUUUUUAUUAUUUUCUGAAAUAAAUAUAAAAUUAAUCUAGUACUGCAUACUUCAGUGACCAUAAAGCUGAAGUUUUUAUUCUAAAGCGGAACAUCUCCACGAAUUGAAUUGGUAGAUUAAGUAUGACUAAAGUUGCAGCAAAAGCGAGAGAGGGAAAAUGAAGGCCUAUAAAGGUUUUUAAGGUUAUAGUUCCAUUUGUAAAUGCGAUCGAGUCUAAGGUCCGAACGUCAAAAAACAAAAGCUGAAAGCUUUGGCGAAGGUGCGCUUCUAAAGUCGCGCUGCCGGACAGCUGUUGCCACGUCUCGGUGCAUGCUCCACCGAUCCUCAUCUACUCCAGCAGGAGUAGGACUCAUAGAGGAGUACAAAGCAACGUAAAAACCAAGAGUAUCCGAUACGUGUUUCUGACAUUCCCCUGACAGACCAUUGACACGCUAUUCCACUUGUUUGUGUAUGAGCACAACAAGAUGUAAAGAAGAGCAGAAGACCGUCGAAUCGUAUUCGCGGGGAUGAAUCGAUUAAAGCUAAAGCUCGAGAUUAAACGACAGGAACACACGUGGUUUGGCUCCGUGGUUGCUGGCGCUCUGCUGCAGAUGCAUGCAGCAUUCUGUGUUGAACCACUGCCACCAAUAAUUGCUGGCGCGCACGUGUGGAUGCGCCCGUUCUGGACCUCUGUUUCCCUUCUCGUCUGGGGGGGGGGGGGGGGGGGGGGGGGGGGGGGGCGGGGCGUGGACGGCCACGGAUGGCGUGCACCGUGCUAUCCGGUGGUGGCCGACCUAGAUUUUUUUUUGGAAAAGCUAGCAUGGUUUUACACAAGUCUUUCAAAACAUUUUAUUGAGUGUAACAUGCACUGUGGAACUUUCUUGAAAUACUAGGAAGUUUUGCAAAAAAAGUUGCUUCUUUUUUUUUGCGAAAAAGAAACUUCUAUUACUCAUCUGCUCAUCUGGUACAUUACACGAGUGUCGAACAAUGUGGGUGAACCAAGUGUAUUCCGGUAUCUCCUGAUAGUGGAAUUGGACAAUCGCAAGGUCGUCUAAAAAAAAUCAGGUACAUUACCUCUAAGGUUACAUCAGGCAUAAUCUCAUCCGGCCCAUGCCCCACCCAUCACGAAUUAAGGCCCACUUUAUUUGGACUUCUGCUUCAGCUUUUGGUGCUUCUAGCUCUCUAAAAGCACUUUUUUCGUUUACACAUGAAGAUGAGAAGCACGUCGGGAGGUGCUUCCUUCCAGAAGCUGCAGGAAGCACCUCCGGACGUGCUUCGCAGCUUCACGUGUAAAUGGUAGAGAUACUUUUUAGAGGGCUAGAAGCAGCAAAAGCUGAAGCAGAAGCCCAAACAAACAGGGGCGUGUCUCUAGCCACCGCAUGUUCAACAAUCUGAAGUUCUCACCCUUGGGGUGGGCAACUCAUGUGGCCUUAUAAAAUAUAUAAGGUUAGUUCAUCUUGUGCAGGUUUUGUCUAUUGCUAUUUCAUCGCGGAGAUUUGAAAAAAAUAUCAAGAUGCAAACGAAACAGAUAGAGAAGAUGCUUUCAAAAAAUUUGGUGUAACUUUCAGUUAAUCUAAAAUAUGUGUUGUUGUUUUACUCCCUUUGAUCCAUAUUAGCUGUCUCAAAUUUGCCAAAUGUUGAUGUAUCUAUGAAAAAGCGUCUAGAUACAUGUAAUAUUUCGACAACUAAUAUGGAUCGGAAGGAGUAAAUUUUUUGUCAAUUAUGCUCAGUUCAUUGAAUAAAUAAAGCCAAAUCUUUGAAAAGAAACAAGAAUAUUGAGGUUUUGCUAUUUUCAAGGCGGCUGAGAAAUAACUAUUUCUAAAUCGAUGCUACAACCGUCUAAUUUAACCACUGAGAUUCAUGCAAGAUUUAUACAAAUACAAAUGAUGAAGAAUAUUUAAUUGGAUGACAAUUUGUUGACCGAAAAAUAACUAUUUCUCAGGAGAUGCCGAAUUUCUUGAUUGCGUACAACAUUUGGCAAUCGAUCUUCAGUUUAUACAUUCAGUAACUUUGACAGCUUCUCAAUAUCAUAUCCCAAAUUCCUCGCUGCAAGAAAGAGAGAAAUAUUUGAUUUAAUAUGUGAAAUAAAAAACAGAGUACAUGAACAGUAUGACUCUCGGAGUGGGACAGAGUGACUGAGGGGAGGUGCUCUGCGUUGACAAUGCCCCUGACAUCUGCUUUUCCGAGAGUUCGUACAAGAAAACCCCCGCUUGCGCCUAUCUCUCAUGAUCCAAGCACCCGACCGACAUGGCUGGCCGGGAGCCGUUCCCGCGCCAACCCCAGCGUCCAAAUCCGGUCAUUUGACACGGUCUUCCCUUCUUCUCCUCAGAAGAAACGUCCCAAAACACCCGCAACCAUCAAGACAAUACACGCGCAUGCCUAAUUAUACCACCUUCCACCUCCUCCUCCAUUGGAGCACCUUUGCUUCCCACCAUUCCUGGCCUCACCCAGAGCUCGCUCUUCUUGCCUCGAGGACCCCUCGCUCGUGCGCUAGCUAGCUAGCUCGAUCGGUCAGCGCACGUCCGGCAUUCUUCCUGGAUCGGUCGAGCGAGCUAAAUGGUCAAGGAAGUGCCAAUGCCGCUGCGGUGGCGGCGGCGGUGGCGAGUACACUUGUUAGCCGCCGUGGUCGUCAUUCUCGCCGUCGCCACGGCCACGCGGGCGCAGGAUUACAAUAACGGCGGUGGCGGCGACGACGACGACGACGAGGAAAAGGAGAAGCCGCAGUUCAAGGCGCAGGAGGCGUGCAACGGCGCGUUCCUGUCCUACACGUUCGUGGAGCGCGCCAAGGAGUUCCCGCACCUGAAGAACGCGACGGCGCAGGCGUACGCGUUCAAGGCGCAGGCCACGGUGCUCAACGCCAUGACGGACGACCUCAAGGCGUGGCAGAUGUUCGUCGGGUUCCAGCACAGGGAGAUCCUCGUGUCCGUCGGCGGCGCCGUGCUCCUCGACGGCACCGACUUCCCCGCCAACGUGUCGGGCGGCGCCACGUUCGCGGGCUACCCGAUGGCCGACCUCCUCAACUCCAUCGACACCGCCGGCGAGAUGUCACUCAUCCAGGCCCAGAUCGACAUCACCGGCACCCAGUUCGGCGUCAAGCCGCCCGGCAAGCCCAUGCCCAAGACCAUCAAGCUCUCAAACCCUGGUUACCGGUGCCCCGCGCCCACCCAUAAAGGUACACUCCGUAGUUAGUCUUACUUGAUGGCUGUGUCCGUCGGAGCAUGUCAGGGAAAUUUCAUCGAGCAGAGCACGUGCGUGGUGAUAUGUGCGUGCAGACAGCGUGAUGUACGUGUGCUGCGUAAAGGACCCCAAGUUCAAGGCGAAGAAGGCCAACAGCACAAAGUACCUGGCGCGGCAGAAGGGCGACCUGACGAUCGCCUACGACGUGCUGCAGUCCUACGGGAACAAGUACACGGCGCAGGUGACCAUCGACAACUGGAGCCCCAUCAGCCGGCUGGACAACUGGAACCUGACCUGGGAGUGGAAGCGCGGCGAGUUCAUCGAGAAGAUGCGCGGCGCGUACACGCUGCUCAAGGAAGGCCCCGCAUGCGUCUACAGCCCGGCGGCGAGCUACUACAAGGACUUCGACUUCACCCCGGUGUACAACUGCGAGAAGCGGCCCGUGAUCGUGGACCUCCCGCCGGAGCGUGAGAAGGACAACGACGUGGGCAACCUGCCAUUCUGCUGCAAGAACGGCACGCUGCUGCCGCCCACCAUGGACGAGUCCAAGUCCCGGGCAAUCUUCCAGCUGACCGUCUACAAGAUGCCCCCCGACCUCAACCGGACGGCGCUGUACCCGCCGCGGAGCUGGCGGAUCGCCGGCAAGCUCAACCCGCACUACGUCUGCGGGCAGCCCAUCCGGGUGAAGCCCAUGGAGUUCCCCGACUCCACGGGCCUCAUGUCGACGACCCCCGCGGUCGCGUCCUGGCAGGUGGCCUGCAACAUCACCCGGCCCAAGAAGCGCGCCUCAAAGUGCUGCGUCUCCUUCUCCGCCUACUACAACGACUCCACGGUGCCCUGCAACACCUGCGCCUGCGGCUGCGGCAACGACGACACGGCCACCUGCGACCCGGACGCGCGCCCGGUCCUGCUCCCCGCCGAGGCCAUGCUCGUGCCGUUCGACAACCGGACGGCAAAAGCCCGGGCGUGGGCCAAGAUCAAGCACUGGCGCGUGCCCAACCCCAUGCCCUGCGCCGACAACUGCGGGCUCAGCAUCAACUGGCACGUCAUGAACAACUACAAGUCCGGCUGGGCGGCGCGGAUGACCAUCUUCAACUGGCAGGACUACACUUUCAAGGACUGGUUCGCCGCCGUCACCAUGGGCAGCCACUACAGCGGAUACGAGAACGUCUACUCUUUCAACGGCACCAGAAUGAAGGCGCCCUUCAGCAACACCAUAUUCAUGCAGGGCCUGCCGGGCCUGGCUUACCUCGAGCCCAUCACUGACGGCAAGACGCCGGAAGACGUGAGGCUGCCCGGGAAGCAGCAGUCGGUCAUCUCCUUCUUGAAGAAGGACGCGCCCAACAUCAACAUCCCCAAAGGGGAAGGCUUUCCCAAGCGGGUGUAUUUUGACGGCGAGGAGUGUGCGCUCCCCGAUACCAUUCCGAAGAUGUCGGCUGCGCACCGGCGGGCCGGGCCAGCAAGCCUCUUGCAGGUUCUCAUUGCGGUGAUGGUCGUGGCGUUUGUGGACUCCUUGUGCUUAUGAUGUGUGAAAACUUCAGGGGAUUGUAUAGGGAUUCUCACUUCAGUUCGGAUGUUCCAAUAGCCCCCAAUUUAGGGAAUUGCACAUGCAGAAUCACAAAACCAUACGGAAAUUAAGCAAGUGAAGAGCCAGAGGCUGGAGAAUAUGGAUAUACAAAGUUCUGAAGAACAAGUAUUCAUCGGUUGAUCCUGAUGUCGAGAUAUGGCCAUGUGGGUUUUAGUGUUUUAUGAGGGCUGCAAGGGGAGGAGGUCUGGGUGGGCAGUUACAUUGUGAGGUUGUUUAUUUUGUUACAUGUAUAUAUGCUCAGUCCACAUAUCGAGUGAUUCUCUCAAAUGUGAGUGGGGGUGUGGCGGCGCGCAUGUGCAACGGAAAAAAUAGAAGCAAUGUAAAUUCUACACUUUGUUUGCUAAUUUUGCAUUUCCUUAAAUUUUAUAUGCUUCAAUCAACCGUACUACACGACAUCCAGUUGCGGAGGCAGUUAAACUGUCGGCAAAAUUCGCCAGCAGUUAAGUGUUUCUGACAGUCUAAUUAGGACAUGUACAGUGGUAUAGACAGUUGCACUCUAAUAGUUAUCCAUGUCAUAUAUAGACUACACUUUAGACAUCUUUUACAACAGAUUGUCUAUUUAGUUGUCCAUAUGAUCACUACAAUUACGGAAUGAAGGCAGGGGCAAUCUUCUUAGCAUGUGCAAUGCACCGUCGUUACCCGCUGCAAGGCCGAUUUUGGAUGACGUGGAGGAGUGAGAGGGGGAGAGAGAAGGAGUCCGUCUAUUGAAAUAUAGAUAGACUAAUUCCGUGCAAAUCGCUCCUUACCGACGACCUCUUUCCCGUUGUACGCGGACCGUCUGUUACCGUGGGAUCUGAUAUUCGUGGGAACAUUUUUACUCUGCACAGCUGCGGCGGCCGCACUGCUUGGAUGGCCGCCGAGCCGCCGAGCAACUACGAGCGGCUCUGAACUCCACCUGCGCGUCCGGCAGGUUGGCUUGUCUUGUUGUUCCGCAAGAGCGAACUGGAUCAAUCAGCUCGUAGCCUAUGAAAGCUGGCUAGCUUCGUAUAGCCUGUUUGAACUUUGGUGGCCACAAUCUCUACUAGACACAGGAACUUCGCCACCGAUGAUCAACUAGCUGGGGCAGAGCUUUGACUAUCCCGCGCGCACCUUCGUCUCCAUGAUGAGCAUCGCAUUGUACUGCCGCGUCAGUCAGACAUUCCACAACAUAAUUUGCUAUUUUUAUUUGAUCAAUCUGAUACUUUUUUAGGACAGGCGAGGGCGGCGGCGGCGGCAGCCGGAGGUGGACUAGAUUUAAUUUGCGGUUGAUCAACAUAACUUGCUAUUUUGGAGUGCUACAGAUAGCCAAAACACACACCAGUGCACGGGGUGUUUUUACGGCUGUCUACAAGUGAUGUGGAGGACUGAUACAGACGGCAGGCGUCUAACGAGUGUACAUGGCCUUAUCGCCACCAAGUCUGGCUUGUGGAGAAAUAAAUGGUGGAAGUUAUAGACGAAGGCUCUCGUACAAUAGGAGAAGUGCAGUCGGUAGGCAUAGAUUUUUACGGUAUUAGACUGUCUGUUUUUCUACCGACGAACUGUUUUUCUCUCUCUUCCUUAUCUUUCCUCCACGCAAGAAAAAACCAUACGUGGCCUCUCUUAUAGACAGCUGAUGGUGGCCUAUUGUAUAUGCCCUAAUUGCCACCUCAAGUAGAUUGCUCUUAACUGUCUCCACAGUUGGCCCGUCUUGUAGCGUUUUUUCGUCUCUUUUUUUUUAAAAAAGGGCGACGAUCUCUGGUCUCUUCGUCAAUCGAGACACACAAUCAUUGUAUUGUAGUGAUGAGCAUUACAUGUUGUGUAUUGAACUUUUAUUUUAGAGAGAAGGGUUGGGAAAUCACCCCCCCUCUCCUGCCCGGUUUUCAAAUUGCAGCAUUAAGUAUCUAUAUUUUAGGCAAAUUCUACGGUACCCAAUACUCCUUUUCAACUAAUGGAGUAUUAGGCAGGGGUAGUUUAGGCUUUUCCCAAUUAAAAAAAGAUUAAUUAUAUUAUUCUUGAUCGUUUGAUGUCCUUGGCCAUGGCGUCCGGCCGCUGCCGCCGCACGGCUUCCUAGAUCGGCGUUGGCCUCGCCCCCGAUUUCUUCGCCUUCUCCCUGUACAACCUCAUGCCGUCGUGCUCAUCAACGAGUGGGCCAAGCCAGCGUCGACAGUGGAGAAGGGCAUCGGGAAAGUUGCGGAUGUCAACCGUGAAGGGAGUGGAGGACGAUGGGACUGGCCGCUCGCAGCUUCGGCGGCGGCAGCGACGCGCCUCCCUUCGAGUGGCGCCAACCCUCAUCACGAGGGAACCUUUGGAUGAUCCAUUAAUUUGGAUCCUUUUUCUUUUCAGAUUUUAGUUCUUGUACCCGUUCAUCCGUUUCCAUACGUAAUUUCUUGCCUGCGAUUGAGACAUCCUGCGAUUUGGCAUCCAAUUUAACUUUUGGAUCGAAUCCUUAUAGCUAAUUUUCAUGAUUUCCACCCUCGUCCUUCCUAGUCAAACGUCGAAAGUUGGACCAAAUCAUUAUCGCUAAUGCAAUUUUUGGCUGCUCCUUCCUAAUCUGAAUGUUGAGAACACUACUACAAAAACGCAUAUAUGCGACGACAUAUUAGUGACGGGUGCAGCCAGCCUGCCACUGAUGUCGAGCAUCAGUGACGGUUGGUCACGCGCCCGCCACUGAUAAAUAGCUGCAGACUUGCAAUUUUGGACCCGACAGACAUCAGUGGCGGGCUCUACUCAUGACCGCCACUCAUGACUAGCAGGCCCGCCACUGAUAGUGGUUCAUCGGUGGCGGUCGGGAAGGCCCGCCACUAAUGGACACAAGUGAAAAUUACAAAAUUCAGAAAAGCAUACAUCACUGGCGGGCCUCGCGUAAAGGCCCGCCACUGAUGAUCCCUGGGGACCUAUCAGGAUUGAAAAUAUCAUAACUAAUUCAUAAAAAAUCAGAAAAAUGUGAUUCUUUUUGCUAAAAUCUUAUUUUUUUCUUGAUUAACAUAUUGGAACAAUAAUACCAUAUGGUGAAUUUUGAAAAAUGGCCUAUGUAAUACAAUCUUGUUAUUUGCCGUAGUUAAACUUUAGGUUUUAAACCAAGUGACCAGAGUUUUGUCCAUUUCUAUGCCAUAAUUCACGAUAAUGUAUCCAUAUUUUCACAAGUGUGCAUAUUCUCAUGACAAACUAUAUUUUAAAAAUGUUUGCAAAGUUUUGGUUUUAAAAAGAUGAUUUUCCAUUUCCCAAAUGCGAAAAAUUGGAUAUUUUGUGAAGCAAGUAAAUUAAUAUGGUUCAAAAUGGCACAUAUACACUUUUCGCACAAAGUAGAACUUGUUUAUUUGCUAAUGUCCAAAGGUUUUGAAAAUUUUGCACAAAAUGUACUAGUAUUAGGUAUGAAUGUUUAUGUGUUUCAGGAAACGGGGUGCUUUGUGAAGCAAAUACAAAUAAAAUGGUUAAAAAAAGGACACAUAUCAAGUUUCUAGAAAUAGUAGACCACAUUGAUGAACUCAUAGACCAAUUUACUUAUUUAGAAUAUUUGUACAUUAUAUGAAAACGAAAAAUACAAAUUAUGAACCCAUCAGUGUCGGUUCAUGCUGUGAUACCCGCCACUAAUGGCCAUUUAGGCCCAGCCCAGCCCGAAGGCCCUAGGGUUUGGAGGGAUACCCUAUAAAAGCUAGCCUCAUCUCCCCCAUCCCCAAUCUUUCCUCCGCUAGCCGUCACAUGCUUAUCUCUCCCUCUGCCCUCCCCAUCUCUCACCCUGUCUACCUCCUACACGAACAGCCCUAUCUCCUUCCUCACCAGCGCCACCGCCCCUCCUCCCUCACUGUGAUUCCCUCUCCUCCUCCCACACCGGCGGCCGGCGACGGCAGAGCGCGUAUGGAGGAGCAGAAGCGACGGCAGCGCACGCGUGGAGGAGCAGCGCCGGCAGCAGCACGUGUAGGAGCAGCAGCGCGGGUGAAGGAGCAGCGGCGGCAGCAGCACGUGGAGGAGCAGCACGGCGCCUGCAGCACCGGCGGCGGUGCUUGGAGGAGCAGCAUCGUGCGGGGCCUGGAGCGGAGCAGCGUUGCCGGGUACGCAUCUCUCCCUCUCUCGUUUUUCUUCUUCUAAAUCUCACUUUCUCUCUCGCAGAUUUCUUGGUUGGUGGCCGGCUUGGCGUGCAAUUUUGGCAAGCUACAAGUUAGCCGGAUUAUUUCAUGAUUUGUUUUUGUAUACAAAUUUGUAUAUAGGAUCUCUACUUCCGGAUUUAAGUGAUUUGUUGUGGUGUCAAGAUACUGCUUGUAUGUAUAUACAGAUUUGCCGACCUGCGGCCUCCUCGACCAACGCCUGGAGGAGAAGCGGCUCGCGGGACCUCGAGCAGCGGCGGCGCGUGGCACUUGGAGGAGCAGCCGACGGCCAUGGCGCCGAUUGCGGCCGCCAAGACGCUGGAUCCGGCCGCCCUAACAAUUAUGCCAACAAUUUGUGUGCGAUUAGAACAAAAUAAACAUGGCUAGCAUUAUAUGCUAGCCAUGAGUUUUUUUUUAAUUAUGGCCACAACUCAUCAGUGUCGGUCACUGCUUGUGCCCGCCACUGAUGCUGAUGUUCAGUACAUUAGUGACAGGGAGUUAGUGACGGGUGGCCCGCCCGUUACUGAUAUGCUUUUUCGACCGUUAAUGAUAACCGUUUCUGUAGUAGUGGAAGGAGAUGGGAGGGAGAGAUCUCGAUCGGAAGAGAAGGGAAAAUCAGAGUGGGGGAGGGAAUGGAGAAAUCGAUCGAGUGAGCCUGCAGAUCUGUUUCCCCUAAUUAAAUCGUGCUUGGAUUACAAUUUUGCCUCUGUUUUUGAAUACCCCAUCCUAAUACUCCACACAUCUAAAUUGGAGUAUUAGGGAGUAUCAACUAAUCUGAGCCAUUGGAUCUAAAAAAUGGACGGUCCAAAUUAAUUCUGGGGUACUAUAGAAGAUCUCAUAUUUUAACUACCUUAACUUAUAGUUGGUGUCACUUCAUCUGCCACCACCGCAGCAGAAUUAAUGGGCCUAGCCAACAAAUCGACAACAAACUAGGCUUCUUACUAUCUACUCCCUCCGUCUCAUAUUAAGUGACUUUCCAUUACAUAUAUGUAGACGUUUUUUAGAGAUAGAUACAUUCAUAUUUGAACAAUUUGAAUCACUUGAUAUGGGACGGAAAAGGACGGAAAGAGUAUUAAUUUGUGGUCGGGCCGGCUCAAUCUGUCAACAACCCUUUACCACUACGGCACACGGAAUUAAUUGGUAUGUGCCAAGAUCGUCAACAAGCUAGGUAGUCAGCAGCCCAUCAAUAACGCUUGUCCACCAAAUAUCGUCAGCAAAGCCUUAAAACAAAAUUAAGAUACUACUCCCUCCGAUCCUAAAUUGUUGUUGAAAUAUUACAUGUAUCUAGACGCUUUUUAAGAAUAGAUACAUUUAUAUUUGGUCAAAGUUGAGUCAAGAAUUUAGAAUCAGAGGGAGUAUUAAAACUAACAAUUAGAGGAUAAUUACUGGUCUAAGAUUUGAACAUAAAUAAUUUGUAAAGAACGCACCAACGGAAGUGGCACUUAGCUAAUUACCACUCCCUCCGUUCCAUAAAGACCGCCCAAUUUUUAUGAAAAGGAGGGAGUACAAAACUUUCAGUUGUCCACAUGUAGUGUUGUCCUUUUAUCCCUUUCUCGGUAGAACAUACUCCUCCUGUUUCAUAAUUUUUGUCUCAAAUUUAUUCAAAAAUGGAUGUAUCUAUUUCUAAAAAGCGUCUAAUACAUGUAAUAUUUUGACAAGAAUUAUGUAAGGGAGGGAGUACAUCGACUUAUUCAUUUGGACAAGUAUUACAAGAGAUGGAUAUAAUUGAAACAUAAACAUAAACUCAACGCACAGCGCGGUGUCAGGUGGAAAAGUUCCUGCUAGCACCAGACAGAGAUGUAGAAUUUCACCACUGAGACUCACUCCAGUAGACGACCAGGUUCUUGGUCCGUCAAGGACCUCAUCAAAGCGACCAUCAUUUACAGACAAAUUAAGCAACAACAAUAUAUAUGUAGCACCUUAUUAUUUCUUUUGCCGCCGCCACCAUGACCCAGAAAGAGCCAAAAUUAAGCGUCGGAUGGGAAGGAGCACGUGAACAACGACUGAAGCGAGAGCAGACUUGAAGAAGUUCUUUAUAACAGAACUCCUUAUUAGGUCUCACUCGGCCCAAAGAUAAUCCAUACCUUGUGUUAGGCUCUUUUCCCUGUCCAAUUUGUAACGAAGUAGUACGUGUCAUAGAGCUUGGGCCACUGGCACUCCAAGCUUUGUAACAAUGUGCGGUGGAUGGCUCUGGCAUAUACGUAAAAGAGCUCACGACAGAACCGUCACAUCUCAUUGAAAGAGACACCACAAUGUCAAAUCUAGAAUUUAUUUUUUUUUUACUUAAAGACCUAGAAUUUAAUCCUAGUUGACACAGAUAUAACAACAAUGCUUGAUUUAUUACGAGGUGUUUGUUUUAACAGCAGAAAACUAUUGAUCACCAACUAACUCAUCCGAUACAUAGGAACUAAUCAAGUAGAACCUACCACAUGCCGCCGCAGUUCACACACACAUGUACAAUCCUUGCAAUAGCCUUCUUGAUAACCGGCGUCGUGGCAACGCACAACACAAGUACUGCUAGACUCACCACAGGUGAUCGUGGUGCUGUGUUCAUCGCAGUUUUUGGAACCUCAUCUACACAAACGAAAGAAAGAUCUUUUUAUUUGAUAUAACCGCACAUAAUCCUUAUAUGAAAAAAAGAGAUUCAAUAUCAACCUAUUCUUACCCGAAGACACGAGCAGUGACGUUAUCAGGAUCGAUGCCACAAUGAAAAUGAUCUUGCGAGCCAUGGCUAAUUCUGGACUUGGCCGUUGAUUUAUCAUGACACAUGUAUUUAUAGAGAAGAUUUCACCUGGCUUUCUUCUCGGUCAUUUAUGUCUUCACAAUAAAUUUCUACUAUAGCAUUAAUUUAGGAAUCUCUAAAGAUUGGAUAUAAAUUUUCAAUCUUUAGAAAUCACUUCACCUCAUCAAAGAAAAUUAAUAUUCAAUCUUUAUUAUUAUCUACACCUAAUAAUAAAGUGAGGAGUGCUUCCUUGGUCGUCGUCCAUCGGUCAAAUUUGCAGUUUAUCCCUUUUAAUUCAACCCGCUGGGCGCCGUACGUCCUGGCUAUCCCCACAUUUGCGUUUUGCCCCUUUCGUUUUUUAAGAACUCAACCCGCAAUCCAAAACAACGGUUCCCCGACGGAGAGCAGGGCAAGGGUGGCGGUUGCGGACAGGUGCCUGCGACGCGGCGAGGUCGAAUGGCUGGGUGCGAUCCGGCUCGCGGAGACGGAGCUGAUGAGUGGCUUGAGCACGGUGCUCACAGGGCGGAGCAGAAUCGCGGGCCCUUGGGCUGGUCGGGGCGGCGUCGGACUGUCGGAGGCGCACAGAGUCGAAGGAGACGCUGGGCCGGCGCUGUAGGCGGAGAACAGCGGAGAGGCGAGCCUAGGCUGGCGGCUACUAGCGCUCGAACCGGUGGAGGCACACGCGAUGCCUGGGAUAGACGACAGAGCGGCCGUGCCCUUGCUCCAUCUCCAGGGGCGCAUGUGGUUCAGGUAGUAGCAGG
This 48780-nucleotide long non-coding RNA is filed under the name Brachypodium distachyon (stiff brome). RNAcentral describes it as "long non-coding RNA (BDIS_LNC000361)". The stretch from base 16951 to 17075 matches the Rfam family "MIR1120/MIR1122 microRNA precursor family". Lineage: Eukaryota; Viridiplantae; Streptophyta; Magnoliopsida; Poales; Poaceae. The record is from RNAcentral.